GUGGGACAAGGAAGGGUAAUUCUGUCAUCAUAAAUUAUUUACUUUAUUGUAAUGCACGUGUCUCUGCAAAUGAGCGUAGAACUUCCACAUUGCUUUUCCUUUCCCAUUCCAUCAAAGCAACAAGCAGAAUACACAGUUGAGUACUCUUCGUUUCUCACAUUCUCAUCCAAACCCUUUCUCAACUUUGAGGGUUUCAUUUGAUUGCACUCUCCAAGCUACAACUGUGAUACUACAUCAGUAUAUGCAUACACAUACUUUUACAAGGAUUGCCGUUAAUUUAUUCGGAUGAGUCUGAAAGUGAUUUUGUGAUGACAGAAGAGGGAUUAGAGAGGGAAAAGGUGAAUCAACGUCUAUGAACUCCAUAGAAUCAUAGUGGGUAUUUCAGGACGAUCUGUAAAUGGGGGUGAUGAAUCAACUUCACGAAUAGUUGAAUUGUACUUAUUGUGGAAGUUGUAUGAGGUGAAGGUAUGGAUUUUUGUUUUCACUUUCUUAUGUUAUUUUGUAUAUGAAAUAUGGAUCUUUGUGAAAAUAGAACUUUGACUAGAUUAUAAUGGAGGUUGUAUUGACUUUUUUCACUUUUGAAACAAUUGAACUUUAGAAAUUUAAAUUUUACUCAUUUUCUUCCUCGAAUUUCCAUAUUCUUCGCUUUUGAAUGGUUACAAUGAAAUGUAGUUAUUAGUCUUUUAGCACAAUGAAACUUCUGCCAAAGAUAAGUUAGAGGUAUUAGUUUUAGUAACAUAAGUUCUUAUAUUUCACUAUGUGAGAAAAUUAUUGUAUUAGUUGAUUUCAGUUAUAAUAUCAUCAUCCAUAUGGAUGCAUGUUCUUAAUGUUUUCUUCGGUGAUUCCUCUCAAUUUUUCUAGAAGGAUUUGAUAAUAGAGGAUGAAGAAAGCAUGAAAAAGGAUGAUAAUAAAAGAUCAUAGACCGUACACUUGGAAUGAGGGGGCUUCCGAAGGGCACUGAAGAUACAAAAGAGAUGAUCAUAUGUUUUGUUGACACUGAAAUGAGGUAUCCAAUUUAUAAGACUAACAAUCGAUUUUGAAGUUAAAGGUUCCAUGUAGUAGUACUAGGACAUACUCGGAUACACGAAUGGUGGAAUGAACAUUACUACAAAAGUUAUACCAUGUGCAGCUCUAACAAAGUCCUAUGAACAACGUCGUUUUUGUAAAUCUAUAGGGAUAAAUUGGUUGUACUUCUUUCUGCAUCAUAAAGUCACGUGUAGUUGAUUAAUACAACUGUCUUUCUAAUCAGCCCCAGUCCAAUCUUCUCUCUAUUUAAAUUGUUCUGUGAUUUCUGCACUUUUAUUUUUGGCUGUUCUUUAAUUCCAAUUGGCUUACCUUUAUUAUCUAUAAUCUAAAAAAUCAUUUGAUGCAGUAACUUUUUCGUUCUGUUAAUAUUUUUCUACCGUAUUAGUAGUUGAUCUCCAUUUGCUGGGGUAUACAUUAGCAUUUGCUGGGGUAUAUGUUAAUUUUUAAUUCUCUGGUGAAUACUUCAAUUAUUUUCUUUUUGUAGUUGAAACUCCCAAUUGAAGUUGUUGAAACUAUAGAGAAACCACAAGAAGAGCUUUUCUUCUUGGCUUGUGAUCAACUAUGAUGUUUCGCGGAGCUUUCCAGGUUAUUUUCUUACUAUUUUUUUCCUUCUCAUUAUACUGAUGGAUUUACUGUUCAGGUGAAGUGCAUGUCUUCAAAUUAUUUACUGUCAUUGAAUGUAUCAUAUACUUUCUUGGUAAAUCAGUUUGCUAGACACGUAUAUUCUAUCUAUAUUGAUCAUGUGUAAGGUCUUGAUAAUGUGCAUAAUUUGUGCAUAAUUUUAGGUGGCUUAAGGGUAGCUUACAUUUUGGACCUUUGGAAGAUACCUAUAUGGGUAAUAUUAGCAACUUGAAUCAGUAGUCAAAACAGGUUAGAGCUUUCAAUACUUUGUCCUUAAUAUACUAAGGCUGUUGGGAUUUGUCCAAUUUUUAUUUUGGUGAAGUUGAUUCUUUUAACCAGAAACAUUUAUUUUUAUACCGUCAGAUAUCUCUCAUUUCGUUUAUAUGUACAUUGGUUCAAGUUUGUUUUUGUGAAGCACUUCCUUCAAAUAUCCUUUAGUUUGUUUUGUGAAAGUUUAAAGUUGAUAGAUUCCAAAUUUGUGACUGCAUUUGAAGGUAUUGACUGUUUUUAUAUGUAAAAGAGGAAAGGGAGAAUACAAAAUUGUGUUUCCCCUGCUCUUCUUAAAACUACUCUUUCAACAGAAAUAGUAGUUGAAGUUUAUUUCUUUGGUUUCAUCUGUUUUACGUACAUUAUAAUUUCCAAAGAAAGUAAUGAAAUUUAGCUUACGAUAUUUACUAAUUUUGCAACUUUUUUUUAUUAACUGGAUAAUUCAAGAGUUUGUUGUACAUUAUCUCAAAUGAUCUUUCCAAAAGCUGAUUUGUAAAUGCAGAGUUGCACUUCCUCAGUUGAGGUGAGGAGUAUAUGAUACCCAAUAUUUUGUCGCAAUGACAAAUGCAGUCAUUUGUUCUUAUGAUUUAGCAUGAAUAGAAUAUCAACUUGCUUAUCUGUAAAUAUCCUUCAAGAAAGCUCUUCAAAUUUUUUAAUGACUAUGGAAUUCACAGCUAUUUCAGGGUAAUAGCAUGCAAAUCACAAAUUUGAGGUAGCCACAUUAAACAAGUCAUGUGUGACAAGUUCGACCGAGAAAGCAUGUAAGGAGUUUUGAACUUGAGACCUCUCAUUUGGGAGGUUCCCCGCUCCCCAUAAGGCUCAUGGUCGGAAGAUUGCAAGUUCAAAUCGUGUCCCCACCUAAUCAGUGGAGUUACAACCACAUAAAGAAUGAGUACUCUGUUCUUAUUUCAUUGUACAUAAUAUUUUUUGUCAGCCAUCAAUUAAUAGUCCUAAUUAUAUAAAAGAUAUAAUCUAUUUCCUAAUUUUCCAAAUAUUAGCCCAUCGCUUCUUGUAAGCCUCUUAAAUUAGGCCUAAGAGAAGGAAAUGAAUUUUUAGAAAACUCAAAGGUGCAAAUUCAUAGUGCACGCUUGCAGGCAGUCUCAAUUAUCAUAGAUUUUUUCACCUUAGGCUUUGUGAUAUUAUUCAGUUAUAAUGUCUGGUUGUAUUGAACAUAAUACCGUAUUCGAGGAAAUUCUUUUGCUCUUUUCAGGAAAGCCACUAAAGAAUUUACCAAGUAUUUUUACAGGAUAUGACCUUCAAUUAAUAUUUUAUCAAAACAUAACAAGUGAUGACUUAGAUGAAGUCUAAGCCGAGUUUACUGUUUACCUUUCUUCUGCAAAAAAAGAGAACAUUUUGAAGAGGGAGGACUUCUACGUGAAUACAUAUGCUUCAAAGGGCAAAAUAUAACACUAAUGGGAGAAGGCCAAAUUGUCGUUUACUAAUGGGAGAAUAUCACAAAUGUUAAAUAUAGCUUGUGCUGAAAGUAAUUUAGGAUGUUUGUACAAGUAGUUGUGCUUUUUUCAGAAUAUCUUUUUUGUUGUUAUUUGAAGGUAUGAAAAGUCAGUGUGUCUAUAGAAUGCAUGCGGUCUAUUGAUCAUCUCUUUGGUGUCAUUGAAGUAAUAGCCACUUUCUGCAACAUUCAGUAAAUGGAGUGCAAUGGUUUGCACUUACAAAAAUUACUUAAGCUAAAUUGUUGUCCUGCCCAAAUUAUUGAGCCUUCAAAUCCUAACGAUUUGUUAGAGUUUGAAACAAUAAGGUUUUAUUCUCCUUUCCCUUUUCUUUUAUGCGUUUUUUAUCCGCUCUUCUUAUAUUGUGUAAACAUUUUUUUUCAUGUGAAAGUAUAGCUCCUCAGAUGGCUCUUGCUUCUCACUAUCUCUGAUGAUAACAAUUUCAAUGCAUUUACCUUGUAAAUUUUGCCUUGUGUUGCAAGAACUGAAUUGGACUAUGUCAUCAGCAGGUUCUUAAUUGCUUAUUGUUGGGACAUAUGUUUUUCGCGAUACCACUUAACUCUCAUUGAGUGUGCUACACAAUUAAAUUUUACAUUAUUGUAUCACUUAUUUCAGAUUCUUCAAAUGUAAAAUUUAUGUUACAUUUUAUAUAUGAACUUAGACUCACUUGGACUCAAAUAUUGUAUUAGGCAACACUGAUUAUGGAGUUGGGUUUAAUAGCUGAUGGUGCAACUUAAUUUUGGAUAUUAUUCAUAUGGGAAGUGCUAAAUGGCCAAAAAAUUAAAAAAACUAUAAUAUUUUUUUAAUUUUAAAAUAGACUGAUCUUUUUUCCAUUUUUUUGUUAAAAUGUAUUAAAGUUAAAAGGGUAAAAAUGUUUAAAAAGGUAAAAUAACAUAAAUAAAAUAUUAUUCAGGUCAAAUUCUGGAUAUUGUUUCACAUGUUUGUUUACUCAUUAAAACUUUUAUAUCGAUAUAGGACAAUGUUAAGAAAAAACGCUAGUAAUUGUAGAUCUUUCGCAUGUAUAAUCACUAUAUUGGGCCCGUGCUUAGCCUAUCUAGUCUCAUAAUAAGAAGUAGUUUUUCUUCAACAUGUGAAUAUUGAAGUACCACGUGGAAAAUGGCUAGCCUGCCUUAUUUAUCGAGUAACUUAUAUAUUUAUGAGCUAAUUAUAUAGAUAUAUUUUCAUUUGUAAUGCUAUGAAUUUUAUGAGAUUUUGGUAUCGUCUAAAUAUGUUCAGAUACAUGUAUCUUGAGAUAUAUAGGAUCAAAAUUAAGUGUAAUUUAUAUUUAGAUACAUUGUAUGCAUGUAUCAAGAUACAUAGAUAAAUAUAAUUUGCCUCCCUCGCCUCACUCGUCACUUUCUUUUCUCGCUCGCGUAUUUGAUCUAUUAAAUACAUGUGAAUCACACCAUUUACAUAUUAUCUAAUGUGUAUCUAUUAUGGUUUACAUGUAACUAAGUUGAAUAAGCAAAUCUCACUUGUCUUCCUUCCACUUGCCUCUGUCCCUAUUUAAGACAUGUGAUAGCAAAAAAUAUGUAUUUAAAUAUAUUUGAUUUAAAAUUUAAAAUAAAAUUAUUAAUUAGUGAAAUAAAAUAUAAUUAUUUUAAACUAUAGAAAUUGACGUCCUUACUUACUUAUCUAGACGGCCCCUUUUCCGACAGACCAAAGUGAUAUUUGACCCAUAUACUAUUCAUUCACCAUCACUACAUUUCCAGAAAUACUCUGUUUGUCCUGUUAUACGCCAUUUUCCAGUUGAUUUUUCCGCAAGCUCUCAAUUUCAUACUCUAAACCUCAUUUUUACCGAAUUGAGUGGAUGGUUGCUGUUACUUCUCAGUACCCAUUUGGUAUCUGCCCUCAAUUCCAUGGAAAUUCAAGGUUACUUUCCCCGGAAACGGACUUCUCUGCUCUCAAUUUUCCAUACAGACUGGGGUAUUCAAGAUUGACUCUUCACCCCAAGGUACUUCUUUUUUUCUUCUUAUCAUUUUGGCAUUUGAUGUUGAACUAUUCUUCUCAUGUGCUUUUUAAUUAAUUUGAAGUUAGAUAAAUUGAUUGUGUAGUAAAAAUGGGAUUUUCCUUCGAUUCUGUUGCCUAGAGGUUCAGCUUAAUCAGAGUGUUGUUUGUGUAGAAGACGAUUAAGUUAAAAAAGUGCUUUUCUAAAAAGUAUGAAGAUGGUACACUGCGUAUUUCUUGAAAAGUGAAAGAAAAGAACAUUAACAGACUACAGUUUGAGUGAGAUUACUGGUGCUAUGUUACCUUUAUGGUUUCAUAAAUUAGGGAAUGUGAUGCAAUGCUAGUUGAGUGAGCAUGUAAGUGUACACAUUAUCCAUGAGGUACCGGUAAGAAGUUGGGUGGUUGAAACAAUUUUUUAAACUAUAGAGUGCAAGUCAACUCGAGGGCACGUUGACUAUUCCAACGGUACUAUUACCGAGUAACUCUUUCCAUUCAAGCUUAAUCAGAAUGCAAAGAAGGUUGGAAUAAUAAUAAUAAAUAUCUCGAAAAUAUAAAAAAAAAUUUAUAUGACAAGGAAAACCUGCAGGCGCUAUCCUUUGGGUGGCACACCAAGAGGUUUCGAACUUGAAACCUCCAACAUGGAAGUCCCAAGCCCAUAUCACUGGGCAUCCCCAAAGGGUUAUAAUGUUCAUUUUUUAGAACUUGUAACGUCUGUUUUGUGACCACAUUGAUUACAUUUAUUAGCCUUCAAUUCCUUCAUCAAUUUGUUCAAUUGAAUUUGGUCUUUGAAUAGCUAGACUUCAAUAGAAUUGAAUGGCCUUUAACAAUGCCAUAAUUGCUCAACACAAGGAUGCACCAUGGCGUGCUCAUUUCUUCACCAUAAAUAUCCAUUAUCAUCCUUAGGAUUAAAAUGGUGGCAGAGGUCUGUUUCCUCGACAAUAAUUUAAUUCUUCCACUUCAUUUUGAGCUCAUGGAACAAGAAGAAUAAUUCUUUCUCUUGGUUCUUCUUCCUAUAUUUUGUAGUGGUGGAUUUUGAUUUAUUUAAUCUUUGUUAGAUUCUCACUCCUAGUUUUAUACUAGAAGAGUUUGUUGAGUUCUAGGCAUACACCUAUACCACGUCAAGCUUUGAAGAAUUUUCUACAAUGUUUGCGGUUAAGUAUUUUCUAUAAGAUUUCCAACAAAGACAUCACCUAACAUUUUUUUGCCUGUUCUAGGAUUUUAAUCUUGGCCUCCUAUGGUUUUCAAUUAAUCGCUCGACCAUACUCUCGGGUGAUGGUCGGGUUGAAUCAUUAUAGGAGAUACCUAAGUUGCUCAGACUCUUCACUUUCGGUGCCGCACCUGUGUCCACAAGACGCGGAUGUAGGAUCCAUACCCGAUCCGGUCAACCGAUUAAGCGUACUUUGACCAAAUUCGAGGGAUAAAUUUUGGAAAAAUUCAAUGAUUUCCGUAAUAAAAACAAAACCUAAUGUGAAAUUGAAGAAAAUGGAAUAAACCUUCUAUACACAAAUUUCUAUUGUCACUCCCUUUCCUUUUAUCUCUUUUUAGGAUUCUCCUCUUGAUCAAUAUUUUCUCCACAUAAUAUCUCAUAAUUUAAAUUUUAUAACUCUAUUUUUGAUAUUUGGAUUAUCUUUAGCCGAAUCCCCGCACCCGUAUCCAUACAUGGAUCCGUACCGUAUAUCCCUGAAUCUUUAAAUUUAGAUCAUAGAGCAUCCAACCUCUAGAUCCGCACCCGAGUUCGAGCAACUUAUGGAGAGGCAUUAUAUCUUUGAUGGGAAGAUCACAGUUUGGUCUUAGAGUGGGAUGCAUCUACAGGUCCUUGUUCUUAUAGUCGACUCCUAGUUGUUAGCCUAGCCUCAAGCUAAAUGUAUCUCAUUGCAUGAUUAGAGUGGGUUAUCUCUAGUUUGGGUAGUAUAUUUGUGUAGUUAUCUGUGAGAAGACUUCUCAAGUAAGCAUAAUGAGGCGACUAUAGUCAAUGCAGCUUGUCGUUUGGAGCUGGUACACUGCCCUUCAAUAAAAAUGAAUACUUUGUUAAAGUGAAGUGAUAGAUCAAAGUGGUUGGGGAAUGGUGAUUGUAGUCAGGAAUCAGAGAAUAGGACCGUGUUCGGUGGCAUGCUUUUACUAUAUCAGAAUUGAGAAAAUUGUCAAAAAAAGAAAAAAGUUAGUACUAUAGUGUGUUAUCUCACACUUAUUCCCACUGAAGAAUCUAAUCAAAUACACAGUUUGCGGGAUCAUUGAAUUUAUUUCACUAGUCUAAUAGUGCAAUCACAUGUAUAUGAAUACGAACUACACUGAAGGAUCACUCACUAGAGCUUUACUGGAAUUGGAGAAGAUAGAAGGAGAAUUUUUUUUGUCGUUCUUGUUUUGUUUUGUUUUGUAAAGCAGGAGUUCUGGCUUAUUUAACAGAGACAAGACACCGGUUCAUGAGGAGUCCUAACCAUUGUGUCUUUUCAUUAUUUAAUAAUAAUUAAAUAUAUAACACAUAUAUAUUUAUUUAUUAUUUAUAUGGAUCCGGGUUGACCCACUAGGUGACGCGAAUCUAAUUCCUUCACCCACUAUUCAAGAUAAUCCAUGGAGAGGUAUGUCUACGUUUCAUGUAUUGGAUUUUCUAGGACUCAAUGAAAAUCUGUCAGUGUCUGUAAUGCUAAUGUGUGCAACACAAUAAUUACAAUCAUCUGCCUAUGCCAAUGGCCUACACAAUUUUAAUAUUCAAUGUCAUUGCUUGUCUGUAUGCCAAAAGCUUUUGAAUUAACUGUUAUUUGGUCUUCAACUCUUCUUAUUACAGGGUCAUGUUACUGAAAUACAUUCUUUGCCACAUGCCGGUGAUUUCACUGGUGAAAAUGAGCCAACACCAAUUCUUGAUGCAAUUGAAAGUCCCAUGAACCUAAAGAAUUUAUCAACUAAGGUCAAAUAAUUAGCACUUCUCCUCAUUUGACCUUGAUAAUCACGGGACCAUAUUGGCUGACUGUGACCAACUUGGUGCAGGAACUGAAACAACUAGCUAAUGAAAUUCGAUCAGAAUUAGCUUUUAUCAUCGCAAAAUCUCAAAAACGUUCAAGUUCCAGUCUGACUGUUGUGGAGCUGACUGUUGCUAUUCACCAUGUAUUUCAUGCCCCUGUGGACAAAAUAUUGUGGGAUGUGGCUGAACAAGUAAGAUCCACUUGGUAAUAUACCAGAAAAUGGUAGAUUUCCAAGUAAAUGAGUUAUACUAAAUAACAUGUGAAGCUAGCUUUAGUUAUGCAGCUCCCAAUUCAGGUUUUAAUUUGAGAAUUUUGUCAUCGUAAAAAUUUCUAUUUUGACGUUUUGGACAGACAUAUGCACAUAAACUUCUCACUGGAAGGAGGCAGAUUAUGCAAGCACUUGAAAAAUCAAAUGGCCGGCCUGUGGCAGCACCAGAUUUUGAGAGCGGAUUUGACCCCUUCGGAGUAGGGCAUGGAUGCAACAGCGUAUCUGCUGGACUUGGUAAAAAUCAUGCUUCUGCUUUUCCCUUUCUCAGCUGAGGAUAUCCUACUUCUGCUUCUUCAAUUAUUUUUCAAAAUUCAGCACGGAAGGUUACUAUAGGAAGUGCUUUCUUGUUUUAUAAUUUAAUUCUUGUUACAAAUUAUUUCAUAAAAAGUUGCCUGCUAAAUCCAUCAAAAAAUUUGAAUGUUUUUCCAGCCUAGAUUUAUAUAAUAUUCUCAUCAAUCAUGUAAUAUAGAUACUUAGACUGUAGUGUCACCUUCAAUAGGAAUGGCCAUUGCCCGAGAUUUUAAGGGGAAGCGUGAUCGUGUAGUGGCAGUGAUCAACAAUGAAACAAUUAUGGCCGGCCAAGUUUAUGAGGCAAUGCGCAAUUCAGGCUAUUUGGACUCAAAUAUGAUUGUGAUAUUAAAUGAUAGUCGGCAUUCUUUACACCCAAAGGUUGAGGAGGCCUCUAAAAUACCUAUUAAUGCUUUCUCAAGUACACUCAGCAAACUUCAGUCAAGUAAACUUUUCCGGAGGUUUAGAGAACUUGCUAAGGUAUGUCCCUGCUAUAUUUACAAAAGUACUAACAAAAUACUCCUAUCCACGUUAAUGUAAAGAGUUGGUUCAAAUGCAAAAUCCUAAUUUGAUGUACAUGUUGCACAAGUAAUAUGCCUUUUUCAAGCACCAAAAAGAAGAAUUCUGGAAUUAAAACAAAACAGAAAUGUUAUGUUCUUCUUUUCUUUUUCGAAAUUAAUUAUCAAAAAGAGAGCAAGAUAAACCUAUUGUGGCUUGCAGUUAAGGUUUUUAAAAUUGUUUGUACAUCACUUAUUAUACUCACAAAAUCUACAACAAAAGCUUUUCGAUUUCCACUACUUUUACUAAUUGAGGUCAAGCGUGCAUUCUUUGUUCUAUUUUUCAAUAGGGUAAAGUAGAUUUCAUUAUCCCACCACAAUUUGUGGGAUAAGACAACUAAAUGCAUUAGGAAGUAGCUAAAGAGGUGUUGGGGGUCUCGAGAGGUAACACAGGUGAUUGCUGAGGGGAUUGGUGGUGGAAUAGAGCAGUCCAAAAGAAAGUGGAUGCCAUGAAGGUUGCUUAUAUGAAGUAUAGAGAGAAAAGACGAGGAUGAAAAGAGGGCUAAUAGGAAGAAGUAUAGUGCGAUGAAGAUGGUAGUGAAGUUAGCGGUUACAACGGCUAAAACAAUAGCGUUUGAACGAGAACCAAUUUGGAGGUGGAGUACAAUGAUCCCGGUGUACAAGAACAAAAGUGAUAUUUAGAAUUGCAACAAUUAUUGGGGUAUCAAGCUACUAAGCCAACUAUGUAAGAUUGGGAGAGGGUGGAAAUGUGUCACCAAGACUUAAAGGUAAGUUUUAUCAAGUGGUUGUCAGACUGGCUAUGUUAUAUGGGGCGGUGUGUUGACCGGUCAAGAACUCGCACGUCUAGAAAAUGCAAGUAGCAGAGAUAAGAUGUUGAGAUGGAUGUGUGGGUGUACUAGGAGAGAUAAGAUUAGGAAUAUAGAUAUUCAGGACAAGGUGGGAGUGGCCUCAGUGGUGGACAAGAUAAGGCCUAGAUUGAUAUAGUUCGGGCAUGUGAAAAGGAGAUGCACAGAUGCCCCAGUGAGGAGGUGCGAGGGGUUGACGAUGAUGGGUCUUAGGAGAGGUAGGGGUAGGCCGAAGAAGUACUGGGAGUGGUUAGACAACACAUGACACUCCUGCCGCUUACCGAGGGCAUGACCCUAGAUAGGAGGAUAUAAAGGUCGCAUAUUAGGAUAGAGGGUUGGUAAAUAGUUGAGUGUGGUCUAGCUUCCCAGUGUUAUUAUUAGUACUCCCCUACUAUCUUGUUUUUCGAUUUUACUAUUACCUGCUUAUUUUUUGGCUUCGGUUAUCAUACUAUUUGUUGCUUCUAUUGUUCCUUUCUCCAUUAUUUUCUGUAUGGUCCCUUCACUGUUGUAUUUUCUUUUCUUACUUAUUUACUUGAGCCGAGAGUAUAUAAUCUCUCUACCUUCACAAGGCAAGGGCAAGGUUGUGCACACACCACCCUCUCCUGAUCCCACUUGUGGGAUUACACUGGGUAUGUUGUUGUAACUUUCAUUCAUACUAAAGUACCAAGAAGGUACUAAAAGCAUACAAAUUACAGCACAGCUGCAACUGUUACAUUCUCAGAACUUCUAUAAAAUCCAUGUACUGAUCUAGAUUUUCUGCCAUACUUCCCUUCACCAAAAGUAUACUUUUUUUAGACAUCUAUUCUUAACACCAGCUAAACAUGUCCUUUCCAACCUAAUGAUCCUAAAGAUGCAAAGAGGUAUCGUUUUCCAGAUUUUCCUCCUAGUUUUCCUGACUUUCUCAUUUUGCCAACAAAUCAAUAGGUCUUUCACCUUUUUAGACAUCACCCAUUGCACACCACUCAGUUAAUUAGGAACAGAUCCCAUAGCUGCUUUGUAUGAUUCCAAUGCAAUAAAAUAUGCUCUGCAGAUUCCUGAGAAUUUUCACAGAAAAAGCAUCGACUGCACAAAGGAAUUUCUCUUCUCUGCAACAUAUCUUGAGUUAAACAUGCAUUUUAUUAUGAUCCAACUAAUUAAAUUCAGAAAUUAAACUAAGCAAAUCGAACUCAACAAAUUUUUGGGGAAUUUUCUCGGGUUUAUAUUAAGCAAAACAAACUCUAUUACAUAAUAGAAACUACUACUACGAAAUGAAAAUAACUGGAAUACGGAAUCUCCAUUGAUGAGAUAAACUUGUAUGUGAUUGAAGAAAAAAGAGGAGAAUUUUGGGAUAGAAAAAGAAGAGGAAGAAUAGUUUAGAGAGAAUUGAGGAAGGUGAGGAAAAUAUCCAACUGACCAUGCCGCUCCUGCUCUUUCCGGGAAUUAGUUAUAGGAUGCUCACGUGCAAUCACAGCCCUUCAGUUUCAUUAACUCAAAUUAAAUCUCGUGCGUCCAGGUGUUAUAAUUCUAUUCGUCGUUUCUUUAUUCUUCACUCAGCUCAUUUAUUCAGGUCAUGAAACAUUUCUAGCUACAAUCCAGCCAAAACAAGCUGCUUUAGGAGGUGCUCGUGAUUUCCACGAUGUUUUCCAUGGCCAAGUCAAAUCCUAGUGGUCUAGCUCUGUGCUAUUAAAUCUGAGAGUUGAUGGUAGUUAUAUUGAUCUACUGAUUCUCUGACACAACAUUUUCUCGGGAUUUUUUUCUUUUGAUGACCGGGCAAUCUAUCUGGAGCCAAUCCUUUGGGUCAACGGCAAUAUAUUCUCUUCAGUUUUCCCUUUUUUUGCUUUGUAACUUAAAGAUGGUAAAUGAUCUCACAUACUUUAUCAGAACAACUUAAAAAUGGUAAUUCGCUUGCAGUUUCUUUUUAAACAUAAAUUGUCUCCAUACUCACAUUGUGAAAGACCUUUCAUGAAGUGUCUGGUAGUUUUUCAGGCACUUGUGCUAACUAUUUUUGUGCGGUAUAUUAAUGAGAUGAUUUGAAAUAUAAUUAUGUUACUUCAGUGAGAAAAUUUUCUCGGUGUUUAUCAGGUUGUCGUUAGAGUUAUGUUUAUUGCUACCUUACAUGAAUUUUUCUUUUGUUUUGACGUACCAAUGUUGAAUUGUACAAUAGUAUUUCGUGCGGAAUUUUCGGUAGUGCACUAAACUUACUAGGCAUUUGGACAUGCAAUUUCAAAUCGCAAUAUGAAAUCAUGAGAUGAAAUUAGCGAUUGGACACGCAAUUUCACGUUGAUUUCAUAUCAUGAGAUGAAAUUCCAUAUUCUCCAAAAAAGAAAACAUGAUUUGAGAAUUCAAAAUCAUGAUUUGAGAUUUUUCAAAUACAAAAAUUGACUCACAAGUUUAUAUUUUGUAAAAACACCCACAUUUAUAUCUACUAACCAUUUAUUUCAUAUGUAAAUAAAAUUUAUAAUUCAUAUCGUUAUUUUCUAAACCAUCUAUAUCUCAUGUAACGAUUAUUCUCACCAACAUAUAUAAAAUUCAUUAUUACUUCAAAUCAAUUCUUACUUUUCCAUUUAUAUUCACCAAAUUCAUUAUUUUUCAUCAAAUUUAUUUACCAACAAAUGGCUCAAAGUAACAAUGUUGGUUUGUCUUCUUGAUCAUAUGAUCGAGAUAUGUAAGUUCAAUGUGAGGAGAUUGUUCGUAUUAUGUGGGAUGAUUAUAUUAAAGACUAGUACACUACAACUUAUGUUCAAUUUUUUUAUUGAAUUAAAGUUUAAUGAAUAAAUAUUGUAUUUUUUUAGAAUAAUUUUGUGAUAGUAUAUUAUCGAUUUUAUAAACUUCUGUUUAUUUGGUAAUAUUGUAUAAAGAAGUGGGAUAAUUUUAAUAGCUUUACAACUUAUGGGGGUUUUAUGUUAUGAGAAAACAUGCAACAUAAAAAGUCCAAAUUGCAUGUCCAAUCAAAACUUCAACUUCAUCUCAUGAUUUCAUAUCGCAUGGCCAAACGCCCCCUUAGUAAAAAACUAGAUGUACAUGUAUGGUUGCUUACACAUAUAGUAGAUAAGUAUGUGUAGAUGAGUCUACUAUUUUUUAUAGAAGGAACGUGUAGGCGAGCUUCUUGGACAUGAUUAUCAUCAUUGUUGCAAAUAGUGAUAGACCUUUGUUAUCUCCGAUAAAGUUAUAGUGGUAAAAUUCUUGUCUUAUCAUGUAUUUCUACUAUAGUCAUAUUCCAAAUAUCUGCUGCUUUUUAUAGGUAUUAACAAAGAAAAUCGGGAAAGGCAUGUAUGAAUGGGCAGCCAAGGUUGAUGAGUAUGCACGUGGUAUGAUUGGCCCGCCAGGAUCAACCCUCUUUGAAGAGCUUGGCCUUUACUACAUUGGCCCUGUUGAUGGACACAAUAUUGAAGAUCUAGUAUGUGUUCUGAAUGAAGUGGCAUCUUUGGAUUCAAUGGGUCCUGUUUUAGUUCAUGUUAUAACCAAGGAAGAACUGGAAGUAGGAGACAAUCAAAUGAAUGCAGUUGCAAAUAAAAUUAUGGAAGGUUUGAUCCUGAUCUCCUAUCCUUUUCCUUCCUUUCACACUAAGGGUCGUUUGGAAGGGUAUAUGAGAAUAGUGUUGAAUAGUAAAUAGUAAUGCUAGCAUUAGCAAUAUUGGUAUUGGUUAUGCUGAGAUUAUUUCUUAUGCACUGUUUGGAUUGGUUUGUUAAAAAUAACAUACAUUGCAUUAUUUCUAAAAAAAAAAUUGUUUACAAAAAUAUCUGCCACAAAUAUGGUGGGAAGGAUGUGGAAAAGGUUUUGAGGGGAAAAUUGCAACCUAAACCAUGUUGUGUAUAAAUAAUGCUUGCAUUAGUUAUACAUAGGUUGUAAAACUGUACUAAACAAGGUAUUAGGAAUAUACAAAACUAAUGCAUGCUUUGUUUUUUCUAAUGCAUCCUACCAAACGAGAGAGUAUAUUAAACAUGUUGGGGAACUCCUCUAAUGCAAAUGUAGUGGGAGCAAAAUUGAUAUAACAUUUAAAGUUGGAUGCUAUGUGUUUUUUCUGGAUAAGUUUUGAUCAAAAGGUGCUAAACUUUUAUACUAUGAGCCUGUUUGGCGUUGCUGGUGGGAGACCAAAAACACUUAUUCUGAGAAAAAAAAUACUCUUCUUGAAAAAUUAAGGUGUUUGGCAAAUUAGUAAAACUGCCUUUAAAUAGAAGCAGAAACAAUUUUUCUAUUGUUGGAAAGAAGCUAAAAAAUUCUUGCUUUUCAAAAAAAGGGAGAAGCGGAAAUAGAAAAUUAUUUUUUCCAAGAUCAAAAUAUCUCUUUCAUAUAUACAUAUUUGUCAAUAUAUCUCUUAUUAAUUUAUUAGCAUAUCUCAUAGGUUUGGUUAAGUUUCAUUUAAGAAUUUUAUUUUUUAUUUUUAUAUAAUAUUUUUUAUUAUUUUACGUUUAUUAAUUAUCAUUUUAUAUUUUUAUUAUUUUUAAUUUUAUUUAAAUCAUCAUGUUAAUAUUAUAUCAAUACUUUAUUUGUUUAUUUUAUCUUAUCUAUGUAUAAUAUUGGUUGAAAAUUUGAAUAAAAUAAAAAGUUUGAUUAAAAUUAUUAUAACAGAUAUUUAAAAAUAGUCCCUCUCUAUAAAAUAAUCUUAAUAUUAAAGGUACAUUAAUAUUUACACUUUUUCGUAAUUUGACUCUUAAAAGCAUUUUUAAAAAAAAGAUUAGUCAAACACAAUCUAUUUAUCAAAAACACUUUUCAAAUGAAUUAGCCAGACACAAAUUGCUUUUUUUUAAAAAACACUUUUCUGAAAAGCUAUUUUAAAAAAGUGUUUCUAUAAAGAGUUUUUAGCAAGAAUACCAAACAAACUAAGUUUUACUCCAAGGGUACCCAUAACAAGCUCAGUCAUAUUUUAUGGCUUUAUAUGCAUAUGUAUAUCUCAUUCAUCAAUUGUCUUGUAUUGCACAUUUGCACUGUUUUAAUACUAAAUAAUUUAGAAGACGUGGAUGAACUUAAAUGGACUGCAUGAUUUGUGAGGAUUCAUAUAGCCGACCCCAACUUGCUAUGGAUUGAGGCAUACUUGUAUAAUUUAAAAAAGCAUCUUUCUUCUGGCUUUUAAAAACUAAUUUUAAUCAAUUGAUUUCCAAGUAAGGGUUGAAUAAAAUCCUGAUUAUCAUCACCAUUCAGAUCAAUUUUAGAGUAGAUUUCUAGUGAAGGUCAGGUAAGAUCUAAUCCUGAUAAACUGACCCUUCUUUCUAUCAAAAUUAAUUUGAAUUUCUACCUUUCCAUAUAUUUGGAAGCAUUGUGAACAUCGUGAGGUGAUGCUAUAGGACUUAAUGAAUACUAGCUGCCCUUCCUUGACCAUUCAAUAAGUUUUUCCUGAGUGAAGUUCAUGUAAAAAAUCAAAAACUGGGUAUAAAUGAUUUGUUGUAAGCUGUUCUGGCUCAGAAGCAUGUCCGAGUGGAAGCUGAUAGUUUUCAGAUGGAACUCGAGAAGUGUUAAAAUUGUGGUAGCAAAGUUAUCCUGAAUGGCAAAGCUAUGUAUUAUUACUACAAAUUCUACUAAUAGUCAACCUUCUUUUUAUUGUCAAAGCAGGUGUAUCUAGCUCAGACACUAUACCUUGUGGCAAUCGAACAUAUAGUGAUUGCUUUGUAGAGGCCUUGAUAUCAGAGGCAGAGAGACACAAAGAUAUUGUAGCUGUUCAUGCAGGCAUGGGAAUGGAGCCAUCACUUCACCUUCUGAAGGAUGUCUUUGCAGAGAGGUUUUUUGAUGUUGGGAUGGCCGAACAACAUGCGGUAACAUUUGCAGCUGGGUUGGCACGUGGAGGGCUGAAGCCGUUCUGCAUAAUUCCUUCAGCUUUCCUCCAAAGAGCCUAUGACCAGGUCUCUCUCUCUCUCUCUCUCUCGCACACACUCACACAGAGAUGGACACAGAGGAUAAGAAAAUAGACAAGGCAGCUAGUGCAAAUGUCUAAUAAAUGGCCUGGUUCUGUCCCCACCUCCCAUGAAAUAAGAGGAAGGGUCUCAUGCAUCAACAACCAACUAUCACUUUAUUUAGAUGUGUAACUUUUUAGCUGUAGCAAGUAAAGGAUCAAUGUAUACAAAAAACACACUAAAUACUUGGUUCAGAAUUUGUUCAGUGGAUUGAAAAUCAUUGAAUUGUAGGUCUAGUCAUUGAGUCAGAGACUUCACAAUUCUCAUUUUCUUUAUCUUAAUUGACACUUCCUAAUAUUGGAAGAGGAAAUGGAGAAUUGAAUAGGUGCUACUAACAAACUAGUCCAUAGGAAAAAAAAGAAUUGACUUGGACAUUUUUCUAGAAGUUUCACAUUUAUCAUAUUGAAGGGGGUGGUUUAUGCCCUCUUCUGGGAAGGGUUACCAUUUAUUUACUGUAAGCAGUACGUACCUAGGUUUCCAAAUGAUGGUUGCAGUUUACCUUAUAAUUCUCUUUCAAUAUUCAUGAUAUCUUUCUGGUCCCUCGUUUAUCUGUCUUAGAAAUUCAAUUGAGAUCAAGAAAUGAGCAACUAAAGCAAGAUCUUUGGUUGUGUCUGCAAAUGUUUUAGGCAAGUUUUCCAAAAUCUCAAGCAAAUGCAACCUAAAAGUCCUGAACAUCUAAAAAUAUCAUUAGAUUAUUUUUCCUUGUCCAUGUCAGAUUGAUUUUGUUCUUUUUGUCCCGCAGCUUUGACUUCCAUGCAUCAUGUUCCUUAGUAUUGGAAACAUGUCCAGAAAAGUAACUUCAUUGUUGUUAUAUUUCUGAGCAGUAGGUCACUCUUUAUUUAAUCAGCCUCACGCAGUGAGUCUGAAAUCCUGUACUUGCUUGGAAUUUGUUGUUUUUGUCCAAAUAAUCAUUUUAAAGAAGAAGAUGGGUCUUAUCCAGAGGAAAAAGAAAAGCAAUAGGGAGGAAACAAAGAUGUCCAACUUAUUUCAAACUUAUGAAGUAAAUUGGAUUGUUUAGAAAAUGAAGUAAAGAAGUGGUUCAAUAACUUUGAGAAUGUCAAUUGGGCAUAAAGUAUAUAGGACCAACUUGUUAAAGUAAUUGAGAUCAGCAUUAAAUGGUUGAUGUGUUGCUGAAAGUUUUGGUCUAUAACUUGUGUCAUUAUCAUUUUAUGUGUAUCUUUACUUUAUCAAAUGAAUAAAUUAAGAUUUCAAUGACCGCGAUGCGAUGGAUAGUCACUGCUAUAUGGUAAAAUUGAUCCUGUUCUGUACGAGUCUACAGGUUGAUAGCUUCCAACUUCAGUUUUGUCCAGGCACAUUAAUAGACGACUUUUAUUUGGGGUUUCUAAGACAUCUUGUACCAAAGAAAUGUUUUCAAUUUGAGCAUCAGCGUGUUAAGAUAAAGCACAAUUUUCUAAAGUUCCCGUCAUGUUUUAUUGGCUGGUUAGGUUGUCCAUGAUGUAGAUCGUCAGAAGGUUCCCGUGCGUUUCAUCAUUACAAGUGCUGGAUUAGUAGGAUCUGAUGGUCCUAUACAUUGUGGGGCAUUUGAUAUAGCAUUUAUGUCCUGUUUGCCAAACAUGAUCGUGAUGGCUCCUUCUGAUGAAGUUGAGCUUUCUCAUAUGGUUGCAACUGCUGCCCUUAUUGAUGACAGGCCGGUUUGCUUCCGCUACCCUCGGGGUGCCCUUUCAGUGAUGGAACACUCAUUUAGUGGAAUUCCCAUUGAGGUAAUACUUUGGCAAAUAGAUCUAGAAAGGUUCUGAUGCAUUCAUGAUAAUGGUAACUCAAUAUUUUAGUACAGGUUUGAUUUGAAUUAUCACCUAAUAUUUUCAGUUUCUUUUACUAAAUCAAUUUUGUAAUUUACAAUUGGCAUUCCGUGUUUAUUUUAUAGAAAACUGUAUUAUUACCCAUAUAUUGCUUUAAGGGAUGUGAUAUAUUUGAAUGUUUAUCCAACAACUUGUUUCGUAAUGUGAUUGGUCUACAUAACACGAUCAAAUAAGCCCCUUCAUAUUUGAAUUUGCAUUUAUACACUUUUUUGUUUUGUUGUUGUGGAGAAGGUUGGCAGAGGGAGAAUACUUACAGAGGGUAAAGAUGUUGCUUUACUUGGCUAUGGAUCCAUGGUACAAAAUUGUCUGAGAGCCCAAUCACUUCUUUCAAAGCUUGGUGUUGAAGUGACUGUCGCUGAUGCAAGAUUCUGCAAGCCCCUUGACAUACAACUUCUUAGGCAAUUAUGCAAGAACCAUUCCUUUCUAGUUACAGUCGAGGAAGGCUCUAUAGGAGGAUUUGCAUCACAUGUAGCACAGUUCCUCUCACUCGAUGGGCAGCUCGAUGCAGGAAUUAAGGUAAAUUUCAAAUCGCUCCUGAAUCAUUUUGCUCAAUGAUAGCUGUAGGAGUUCUUUUCAAUACGAACACAAGUCACAUUUCCACAUUAGAAGUAUGAGCUGCUUUCCUUUAAUUCUUCUGACUCGUGAUUUAGAAACUUUUAAUAUAAUGCUAAGCUUAUAUGUCUCCUUCCCCUCUCCCUCUUUCCAAGCACAGUUUCUUUCCACGUUACUGAAUCUGAAUGGACAUCUUUGACUUGGAAUAUGUUUUCGAACAUCAUGAUUUCUUCUAUAUCAUUUUAAAUACUAUAAGGUCUGAGGUUAAAGGUUAAAACUUCUUUUUUGAUGAUCUAUUCUUAGUGGCGACCAAUCACUUUGCCUGACAACUAUAUCGAGCAAGCAUCACCAAAAGAGCAGCUUGCUGUUGCAGGACUGACUGGAAAUCACAUAGCUGCAACUGCACUGAGUCUGCUUGGCCGUACUCGAGAAGCUCUUCUUUUGAUGUGCUAAAUUCUAUUUCAUUGUUCUUGUAAAGUGUAAAUAUCUUAGGCCCUCCUCUACAUACUUAUGAAGUGUAGUAGUGGAAAAUACACAAGGUAGGAGGAGGGGGGAAAGAAGAAAAUAAACAGGAUGAGGAGGUUUGUGAUAGGAAAGAAGCAGUCCAUAUUUCUGAGAGUAGGUGCAACAAUGUACCUCAUUUCUUGAGUGACAAAUGGCCCAUUGGCUUGGCAACUUCUAACACUCGCAUCUGAAAAGUGUGGUCUUGUGAAGGCCAAACAUCAAAGCGUUUUCGCCUGAUGUUAAGUAUGGCUUGCCAUGGCAAAAGUUUAGACAUUUUUUACUUGAGUAUUGAGGUGCGUGGUUAAAGUUUGUGUCAUGCAUGUCUAAAUCAUUUUUUUGGCCCUAAUUAUUUUUGAAGGGUUAUGUUUUUUUAGCAGUAUUUUCAGUUUCAAUGAAUUUGCAUGACUCCAGCCCAGAUUCAUAAUGUGUUGACUGACCUACAUGUAAAAACACACAACAUGUGAUAAUCAGAACCACAAAGCUUUUCAUAUAUACAUAACUGACCUACAUGUAAAAAUGGCCUCAACUUUUAGAUAUGUGUGUUUGAAACUUUGACAAAAAAUAAGAAUUUUGUAUCUCAAAUUUUAACAUCCAAAUAAGCUUGAAUUUGAAACAUAACUUUCAUAUAUCAUAAAGAUCAUACCUCAAUCAUCAAUUUGUCAAAAAUAACAAUAAAUCUAACAAAUUCAUUUAAUUUAACUUAAUACAUGUUAAAAUUGAUUAAAAUUUUAGUCAUAUGUGUCUAAAUGCAGAAGGAGAAAAAGGCAAAAAGAAGUAUGUGAAUUUGCUUGAAAGUUACCUAAUAUAUUGAAUAUUGGUAUAAAAAAAAGAGUGUAGGAUAGAUAUUACUUAAAUAGGGAGACCAAAAUAGGAGGAGUUUCUUCCUCCCGCGCUCGUCGCCGCCCGGCCCGCAUUAGAGGGGAAGAUUAGCAAAGCGGGAAAAGAAAGAGGGAAGGGGAGCAGCAUCUUAUUCUCUUCGCGAGAACUUCCGGAUCGUAGAAGCAUUCGGAACGGGCUCCGCGUUCAUUUCGUUGGCAGAAACGAUCCAUCCCAUUCGGGGAACCAAAAAAUUGGACUUGAGAAUCUCUACUUUUGAUUUUUAACUUUUUUUUAAAAGUUAUUUUAAGUUAGUUUUAACUUUGUCAAACACUCUCAAAACUCAAAAGCUAAAAAUGACUUACAAGCAUGUUUGACCAACUUUUAAGUCAAUCCAAAUAAGCUCUUAAACUUAUAUAAAGUUAAACAAGUAGACACAUAAAUCAUAUGACAUAAUAUAUGUAGGACACAAAAUUCUAUAAGUUUCCAUUUUUCAUAUUUUCACUGUUAACUUAUAGAAAUAAUAAAACAAUUACCACAAAAGUACUGUACUUCCGAUAUAUAGUCGAAAAGUACACUAUCUUCUUUUUCUUUUCUUUCUUUUUUUUCCACUUAAUGUUUGAUAUCCACGUUAAAGUCAGACUAAAUUUGAAUACAUGCCGAAAAAUUUCAUAUUGAAAGAUUUUGUAAAUAUAUUGUAAAAUAUUUUAAGAAUAUACUAUCAUCCAAAUAUGAAUGCAUAUUACUACAAUAUAUUAUAUAAGGGCGGAUCGUAGGUUUUCGGAAUCCUCACCUACUUGGGUAAAGAGAAAUUCAUUUUUGAUUAGUAAUAUAUUUGAAAAAUAUUUUUAAGUGUGUAACAAUUUUUUUUAAAAUUCUAGUCGUUUUUUAUUCCAAAAAGUAAAAAGCAGAACGCAUGCAAUGCUUCACGUUAGUUUCUCCUUUCUUGAAAUAAUAAUAAUUACAAAGUCCACUAAAAAGAAAUCAACCAAUAAAAUAUUUUUUUACCCAAAUUUCAAAUCAAAUUUGAAACCAAAAAAGUGAGAAAAAAAGAAACACUCAGGUCAGGGUUAAAAAAUUGCUUUUGAUUCUCCCAUAUUCUCUUUUAGUUUGUUUUUUUCAUGUUUUUGUGUUUAUUUUCUGUUUUGAAAUUCCAUUUAAUUGAAAGAGGUGUAAAUAGUGCAUGACACAGUCAUUGUCUAUUAUUUUUAACUAGUGGAGAACAUAAAAUUGAAAAAGUAACAAUGUGAUCUUAAUAAUAUAAAGCACGUUUAGUUGGGAAUAAAUUAUAUCAAGAUUAACUAUUUUAGGUUGUUUUUCUAUCCUUAAUGUAUGUGGAAUAAAAAUAAAGUAUUACAAUAUAAGGAUAACUAGUUUUGAGAUAAGUUAUUUUGUAAUUUUAUUCCAAUCAAAUAUGGGAUAGACUCAUCCUAGAACUAAUUCCAAAAUUAAUUAUUCCUUAUCCCUCAUACCAAACGAGCAAUACAUCAUUAAGUGAUUCUGCGAGUAUUAUUUUAUGCAUAAUUAAACAUAUUACACACACAAAAAGGGAAGUUAACUCUUUCUUUGUUGAUUGAUUUUGAUAGUAAUGAGAAUGAAAAUGAAAUUUCAUCUUGUGGUUCAAAUUGAUAUAUGUUGGUCUAAUUCUUUGAUUUGCAAUAUUCUAUUUUAGAAGUUAAUUUUUUGGGUUUUAGUUAUUCAUUUUAAAUUAAACUUCUGUAUUUAAAUAAGUUGAAAUUAUAAAGUGAGAGUCUAUAUAAUCACAAAAUCUAAGCCUCAAAUCAUUUGGUUUUCUCUUCACUAAGUUCUCUUUCAUAUUCAGUUAUUCAAGAUGAUCGAUGUCAUUUCUUCUCGACCAUCAAAUAACGAUAGAAUAUUGAAUUUGGAUUCUUUUGAAUCCGAUCAUGCUAAAAGAAAACAAAUUUAAGAACCUCGCUAAUCUAUUGAAAAUCAACAAAUUAACUUAAAAUUCUGAAUCCGUUUAAAUAAAACAAAAGGACAAGAAUAUCCUUAGUUAAUUCAGAUAAAUUUUCUGGACCACUUUAUUGAUUAUUCAGUCCAUUUUGUGUGUAUAUAUAUAUAUAUAUAUNNNNNNNNNNNNNNNNNNNNNNNNNNNNNNNNNNNNNNNNNNNNNNNNNNNNNNNNNNNNNNNNNNNNNNNNNNNNNNNNNNNNNNNNNNNNNNNNNNNNNNNNNNNNNNNNNNNNNNNNNNNNNNNNNNNNNNNNNNNNNNNNNNNNNNNNNNNNNNNNNNNNNNNNNNNNNNNNNNNNNNNNNNNNNNNNNNNNNNNNNNNNNNNNNNNNNNNNNNNNNNNNNNNNNNNNNNNNNNNNNNNNNNNNNNNNNNNNNNNNNNNNNNNNNNNNNNNNNNNNNNNNNNNNNNNNNNNNNNNNNNNNNNNNNNNNNNNNNNNNNNNNNNNNNNNNNNNNNNNNNNNNNNNNNNNNNNNNNNNNNNNNNNNNNNNNNNNNNNNNNNNNNNNNNNNNNNNNNNNNNNNNNNNNNNNNNNNNNNNNNNNNNNNNNNNNNNNNNNNNNNNNNNNNNNNNNNNNNNNNNNNNNNNNNNNNNNNNNNNNNNNNNNNNNNNNNNNNNNNNNNNNNAUAUGUGACUAAUUACGUCCUUGAUCACUCAGUGUCACAUGCAUAAAAAGCAAUGAAUAGGUAAUCGAUUAUUGUAAUUAAUCCCAUGUAAUUAAUGGUAUGUUUUUUGUUACAUAAUAAAGUCAUUAAACUAACCUACCACAUGAAGAGUUGGAAACAACAAAUCACAUGCAAUAACCAUAUACUUUGCUUCCUUUUUCACAUCAAUAAUCAAAUCAUGACGUUCAUGCAUGAAGAAGCAAAGAUUUGGGUAAAUCUUCUUUUUACCUUUUUAAGAAGAUUAAUUAGUACUUUCUUGAUCGAGAUUUAAAUUUUAUGAGUUUUUAUAAAUUAAUAUACAUUAAUAAUUAUGUUUAUAGUUAAAUAUCUUUAUAAAUAUUUAGUAGAUUUUUUAUUUAUUGUUAUAUAUAAAGAUUUGGAUAAAAGUUAUCAGAUUUUCAUACUCGUUACCAUUUAUGUGAAUGUGUUUUACUAAGCAUAGAAUUUAAGGAUAGAAAAAUAUACUUCUAAAAUUCGUCGUCUAAAAUAAAUUAUAAAUCUUGAUGUCGCUACAUAAAGUAUUUUAAUUGUGAUAAAAAUAAGAAAUCAUACAUUUUAAAAUACUUUAUUUUUUUGUAAAUUUUAUAUCAAGUUAAAUAACAUCACAUAAAUUAUUACGGUGCGAAAGAGUAUACCAUAACCGAAAUGGUGUCUCUCUUUGCUUGCGUGUGUAUAAUCUUAUAUACGUCUUUAAAGCACAUUGGGCAACAUGCACUAUGCAUGUUCAUGUAAAUUAAAUAUAUUUCCAAACUCACGAGAUAUUUCUCUCUCGGUUAAAUAAUAGUUGUUCAUUAUUAACUCUGCAUACUUCUUAAGAAAUUAUAAAUGGAAGAGUAAUUUUACUGUAUCACUCUUUGAAUAUAAUAAAUACAAUGUCUUGAAAAAUGUAAUAGGAAAAUUGUUAUAAUUAAUGACAAGGAUAAAUUAAGAACUAAGUGUCACGAUCCAGACCAUCGUGACCCACACUAACCCUCCGGUGGGAGAACCACUACUAUAUGCCCAAACCAAGCAACUAAACCAAAAACUAAAGCAUUUAAGUUAUGGAAGCAAGUUAAAUAGCUAAAAACUGAAGUUUCCAUAAACUUCCAAAAGAUCUAACAACUAAACAAAUACGGAAAUACUACAGUCAAUGUACCAAAACAUCUAACAAUGAACCAAAGUCUAAACAAGAAGAGAUGAAUUAAUAACUAACUAGAAAGUCUAAGUCCGAAAUGUGGACAUAGACGAAAGGAGAACUCAUGGUAGCCUGAAAGAACUGGCUCACCCUUGAAUUCGAUCGGCGAUCAUUGAUCUUCUAAAUGAGGUCUGUCAAUAGCAGCUUCAAGAUGCCAUGUACUCAACAAAGAAAGAGCAAGUGCAGUAUCAGUACACAACCACAAUGUACUAGUAGGAUCACACGGCUAUCCCACUAAGUGCAACAUAAACAAGUCAAUACAACAAUAUAAUCACAUGCAUAUAUUGAACAUAUACAAUAUUAUCAACAUUUACGAACAACGAACAACUUCACAUUUCUCAAGAUACGCAAAUAUGACAAAUCAUUGGUANNNNNNNNNNNNNNNNNNNNNNNNNNNNNNNNNNNNNNNNNNNNNNNNNNNNNNNNNNNNNNNNNNNNNNNNNNNNNNNNNNNNNNNNNNNNNNNNNNNNNNNNNNNNNNNNNNNNNNNNNNNNNNNNNNNNNNNNNNNNNNNNNNNNNNNNNNNNNNNNNNNNNNNNNNNNNNNNNNNNNNNNNNNNNNNNNNNNNNNNNNNNNNNNNNNNNNNNNNNNNNNNNNNNNNNNNNNNNNNNNNNNNNNNNNNNNNNNNNNNNNNNNNNNNNNNNNNNNNNNNNNNNNNNNNNNNNNNNNNNNNNNNNNNNNNNNNNNNNNNNNNNNNNNNNNNNNNNNNNNNNNNNNNNNNNNNNNNNNNNNNNNNNNNNNNNNNNNNNNNNNNNNNNNNNNNNNNNNNNNNNNNNNNNNNNNNNNNNNNNNNNNNNNNNNNNNNNNNNNNNNNNNNNNNNNNNNNNNNNNNNNNNNNNNNNNNNNNNNNNNNNNNNNNNNNNNNNNNNNNNNNNNNNNNNNNNNNNNNNNNNNNNNNNNNNNNNNNNNNNNNNNNNNNNNNNNNNNNNNNNNNNNNNNNNNNNNNNNNNNNNNNNNNNNNNNNNNNNNNNNNNNNNNNNNNNNNNNNNNNNNNNNNNNNNNNNNNNNNNNNNNNNNNNNNNNNNNNNNNNNNNNNNNNNNNNNNNNNNNNNNNNNNNNNNNNNNNNNNNNNNNNNNNNNNNNNNNNNNNNNNNNNNNNNNNNNNNNNNNNNNNNNNNNNNNNNNNNNNNNNNNNNNNNNNNNNNNNNNNNNNNNNNNNNNNNNNNNNNNNNNNNNNNNNNNNNNNNNNNNNNNNNNNNNNNNNNNNNNNNNNNNNNNNNNNNNNNNNNNNNNNNNNNNNNNNNNNNNNNNNNNNNNNNNNNNNNNNNNNNNNNNNNNNNNNNNNNNNNNNNNNNNNNNNNNNNNNNNNNNNNNNNNNNNNNNNNNNNNNNNNNNNNNNNNNNNNNNNNNNNNNNNNNNNNNNNNNNNNNNNNNNNNNNNNNNNNNNNNNNNNNNNNNNNNNNNNNNNNNNNNNNNNNNNNNNNNNNNNNNNNNNNNNNNNNNNNNNNNNNNNNNNNNNNNNNNNNNNNNNNNNNNNNNNNNNNNNNNNNNNNNNNNNNNNNNNNNNNNNNNNNNNNNNNNNNNNNNNNNNNNNNNNNNNNNNNNNNNNNNNNNNNNNNNNNNNNNNNNNNNNNNNNNNNNNNNNNNNNNNNNNNNNNNNNNNNNNNNNNNNNNNNNNNNNNNNNNNNNNNNNNNNNNNNNNNNNNNNNNNNNNNNNNNNNNNNNNNNNNNNNNNNNNNNNNNNNNNNNNNNNNNNNNNNNNNNNNNNNNNNNNNNNNNNNNNNNNNNNNNNNNNNNNNNNNNNNNNNNNNNNNNNNNNNNNNNNNNNNNNNNNNNNNNNNNNNNNNNNNNNNNNNNNNNNNNNNNNNNNNNNNNNNNNNNNNNNNNNNNNNNNNNNNNNNNNNNNNNNNNNNNNNNNNNNNNNNNNNNNNNNNNNNNNNNNNNNNNNNNNNNNNNNNNNNNNNNNNNNNNNNNNNNNNNNNNNNNNNNNNNNNNNNNNNNNNNNNNNNNNNNNNNNNNNNNNNNNNNNNNNNNNNNNNNNNNNNNNNNNNNNNNNNNNNNNNNNNNNNNNNNNNNNNNNNNNNNNNNNNNNNNNNNNNNNNNNNNNNNNNNNNNNNNNNNNNNNNNNNNNNNNNNNNNNNNNNNNNNNNNNNNNNNNNNNNNNNNNNNNNNNNNNNNNNNNNNNNNNNNNNNNNNNNNNNNNNNNNNNNNNNNNNNNNNNNNNNNNNNNNNNNNNNNNNNNNNNNNNNNNNNNNNNNNNNNNNNNNNNNNNNNNNNNNNNNNNNNNNNNNNNNNNNNNNNNNNNNNNNNNNNNNNNNNNNNNNNNNNNNNNNNNNNNNNNNNNNNNNNNNNNNNNNNNNNNNNNNNNNNNNNNNNNNNNNNNNNAGUUCCUUGUGUGCUAAGAGAUAUGCCCCUUUAAAGUUGACCUUCCAAAUCGCAUUUUUUGCGAUUUUCAAAUUUUGAUACGGUUGCUCUAAAAUUCGGGUUAGACCCAUUUCCCACUCAAUUUGACCCCCUGAAUAAGAAUAUGAAGUCGAAUUUCCGAAAUCAUGCACGAAUUUUGAGAUAUAAGGAAAUUACAAUUAUAGGUGUUUCCGAAGCACAUUUUCGGGCAUUUUUAGGGUCGUUUCAAUCACCUACCUCGAAACAAGCCUGAAACCCUAAGAAACUUAAUCCUUCCCUUUCUAGAUUCGUUCUGCUUGUUCUUGGUCUGCAAACAAUCAAUAUAAUACGGGAAUCAAUAAACAAUCACUAAUUACCCAGAUUACUAACAAUUCUACCAACCCUAGAUCAUACCCAUGAUCCCAAGUAUCCAAAUUAGGGCUUUUUCCACCAUAGUUUCUAGAUCAAAACCCUCCCUCAUCGAUAAUUGCCCAUUCGAUUACGUUCUACGGAUCGAAAAAUGGAUUCGGGGAGUUAAAAUCUUACCUUUAGCCUCAAGAAUGGUGGAAAACCAUGAAGAAAAGCCUUAGGUUUGUUCCUUAGCUCUCAAAUUCGAAAAGUGCAGAAUAAAAUAUUUUUGGGGUUUAUUUACGACUUUAAGUCCCGUCUGGCCCGCUACAGCCGCCCCGCCCCUGGUGACCGAAAUCACCGCCAAAGCGGCUUGCACGAAACAUUGAGCAAAUUAAAGAAUUCCAAAACCCCCAUUUCACAACACGUCUUCGACCAACGAUACUCAGAAACUACCCGUUCACGCUAAGAUCAACUUCGGGAGUUCUACUCCCUCGAAUUCAAUUAUGUAAAGUCGUACGAAUUUCUUAACGACAUAUCUAACUACUCAUGAAAUCAAAAUCAUAAUUAGAUCACCCAAUUGCUACCAGAUUUCUCUAGACUUUAAUGACUCUGAUUUCGUCCAAAUCUGGACUAGGUUGAGAAAUUCCAAGUUACUACGAAAAAGUUUUCCGGCCUAAAUUUUUUCCCCGUUAGCUUUUCUAUACGGAACCCGGUCGUUAUAAUAGAUACCAAUUUACCCACCACUCGUCCCCAAGUGACAAACUUAGGAAAAUAAGCUUAGAAAGGAAUGAAGUAGUACCUGAAUCGACGAACAAUUGGGGAUACUUGUCUCGCAUGUCCCUUUCGGUUUCCUAAGUAGCUUCCUCAAUUGGACGAUGCUUCCAUUGAACUUUCACGGACUUAAUCUUUUUGGUCCUCAGCUUACUUUAUAAUAUAAUCUCCAUCACCAUGAUAUCUCUUCAACAUGGACACAUGAAAUACCAGAUGAACUCCCAAUAAAUUAGGAGGUAAAGCCAAUCUAUACGCCACUGGCCCUACGCAUUCAAGACUCUCAAAGGGACCAAUGUAUCGCGGACUUAGCUUACCUUUCUUGCCAAAUCUCAUCACCCCUUUCAUGGGUGAUACCUUAAGAAGAACAUUCUCACCGGUUUGAAACGCCAUGUCUCUUACCUUUUGAUCUAUAUACUUUUUCUGUCUACUCUGGGCUGCUAAAAGCUUAGCUUGAUACUCCUUACCUUAUCUUGAGCAUCAUUCACUAAAUCAACCCCAGAGGUUUCACAUCUCCAGCCUCAAACCAUCCUAUGGGUAUUCUACAUCCCCUCCCAUAAAGUGACUCAAAUGGUGUCAUAUCAAUGCUGGAGUGAUAACUAUUAUUAUANNNNNNNNNNNNNNNNNNNNNNNNNNNNNNNNNNNNNNNNNNNNNNNNNNNNNNNNNNNNNNNNNNNNNNNNNNNNNNNNNNNNNNNNNNNNNNNNNNNNNNNNNNNNNNNNNNNNNNNNNNNNNNNNNNNNNNNNNNNNNNNNNNNNNNNNNNNNNNNNNNNNNNNNNNNNNNNNNNNNNNNNNNNNNNNNNNNNNNNNNNNNNNNNNNNNNNNNNNNNNNNNNNNNNNNNNNNNNNNNNNNNNNNNNNNNNNNNNNNNNNNNNNNNNNNNNNNNNNNNNNNNNNNNNNNNNNNNNNNNNNNNNNNNNNNNNNNNNNNNNNNNNNNNNNNNNNNNNNNNNNNNNNNNNNNNNNNNNNNNNNNNNNNNNNNNNNNNNNNNNNNNNNNNNNNNNNNNNNNNNNNNNNNNNNNNNNNNNNNNNNNNNNNNNNNNNNNNNNNNNNNNNNNNNNNNNNNNNNNNNNNNNNNNNNNNNNNNNNNNNNNNNNNNNNNNNNNNNNNNNNNNNNNNNNNNNNNNNNNNNNNNNNNNNNNNGUUGACAAUUCUGACACUUAGCCACAAACUCCUCUAUAUCCUUCUUCAUGCCCGGCCACCAAUAAAUUUGCUUAAAAUCUCGGUACAUCUUGGUCACACCCGGAUGAAUACAAUAUCGCGAACCAUGAGAUUUCGCUAACAAUUUCUGAAUCAAGUCAUCUACUCUAGGAACACAGAUUCUUCCUUUAAAAGUGAGCACAUCUUCCGCAUCAAGAGUGGUCUCUUGUGCUUUACCAAUCACAGUCUUCUUCUUAAGUUCAUUCAAAUUUUCAUCCUCAAAUUGUUUGGCCUUUAUCUCUUCAAUGAAUGUGGCCCUCAGUUCAAUGCUAGUUAACACCCCGCCUCUUUCAGAGAUGCCCAACUGCAUGAAUUUAGACUCCAAGGUCUGGAUUUCCUUAGCUAAGGGUCNNNNNNNNNNNNNUACACUCAAGCAAGCUAAACUACCCAUACUCACCAUUUUUCGACUCAAAGCGUCAGCCACCACAUUAGCUUAGCCCGGAUGGUAUUGAAUGGUCACAUCAUAAUCCUUGAGUAACUCCAUCCACCUUCUCUGUCUCAAAUUCAGAUCCUUUUGAGUAAACACAUGUUACAAACUACGAUGAUCAGUAAACAUCUCAUACUUAACACCAUAAAGGUAAUGCCGCCAGAUCUUAAGAGCAAACACUUCCGCUGCCAACUCCAAAUCAUGUGUUGGGUAAUUCCGUUCAUGCACCUUCAAUUGACGCGAUGCAUAAGCUAUAACAUUAUUAUCAUGAAUCAACACAGCACCCAAACCAGAUUGUGAAGCAUUACAAUAAUAAAAUCUUUACCUUCAACUGGUAGUGCUAGAAUAAGUGCGGUGGUCAAAAAAGUCUUGAGUUUUUGAAAGCUCUUCUCACAUUUUUCAGUCCAUUCAAAUGGUAUCUCCUUUUUGGUCAAAUUAGUCAAGUGAGUGGCAAUAGAAACAAAGUUCUUUACAAAUCGAUGAUAGUAGCUAGCGAGCCUCACAAAACUCCUAACUUUCGUCACAGAGCUAGGUUGAACCAAAUUCCUAACCGCCUCAAUCUUUUUAGGAUCUACCAUUACCCCUUUUUUUGACACUACAUGUCCCAAAAAUGCAACAGAAGUCAACCAAAAUUCACACUUAAAAAAUUUAGAAUACAACCUGUGUUUCCCAAGAACACCGAGAACAAUACGAAGAUGAUCGACAUGAUCUUCUUCACUUUUUGAAUAGACCAAAAUAUCAUCAAUGAAGACUAUAACAAACGAAUCAAGAAAUUGAUUGAACACCCCAUUCAUCAAACUCAUGAAAGUUGCAGGCGCGUUAGUCUAACCAAAAGACAUAACUAGAAACUCGUAGUGCCCAUAGCGGGUUCUAAACGCCGUCUUGGGCACAUUCUCAAGCCUAAUUUUCAACUAAUGGUAGCCACACCUUAAAUCAAUCUUAGAGAAAACUGAUGCACCUUGCAAUUGGUUAAAAAGAUCAUCUAUUCGAGGCAAAUGAUACUUGUUUAGAAUAAUGACCCUAUUCAAUUGCCAGUAAUCUAUACACAUUCUCAUACUACCAUCUUUUUUACUAACAAACAAAAUUGGAGCACCCGCACCCCAUGGGGAAGCACUAAGACGAAUAAAUCACUUAUCAAGAAGCUCUUUUCAGUCUUAAGCUCUUUUAAUUCUGUUGGAGCCAUACGAUAUGGAGGGAUAGAAAUGGGACGCGUGCCAGGUUCUAAAUCAAUGCAGAAAUCUAUAUCUCUAUCCAGAGGCAUACCAUGCAAGUCAUUAGGAAACACUUUUCUAAAUUCUGACACCACAUGAAUAGACUCAAUAGAUGGAGACUCAACCUCAAUAUCCCGAAUAUGAGCCAAAUAAGCCAAACAACCAUGCUUUACCAAUUUUCUAGCCCAAAUGGAGGAUAUGAUCUUAGCUUGCUUAGACUUGUACACCCCUUCCCACUCUAAUUUUCCCUUCCCGAAAUUUCUAGAGUUACAGACUUAGUAUUACAAUUAAUCACAAUAUAAUAGGGGGAUAACCAAGUCAUGCCUAAGAUUAUAUCAAAGUCAGAAAUAUCCAAAGUCACCAAAUCAGCCCAAGUCUGAAAACCCAUAAACAAAAUAUGACAAGCACGAUAGACAUGGGUGAUUAUGACAGACAUUCCAACUGGGGUAGAAACAUGGAUGAGGGCAUCAAGUAUAUCACGAAUCAUAGAAAAUUAUAAGGCAAAUCGCACGGAUACAUAAGAAUAAGUGGAACCCGGAUCAAAUAACACAUUAGCCAUCCAGUCACAUACAAUAAUAGUACAUGUGAUCACUGCGUCGGACACCACUGCCUCACUCUUGCCUGAAAAGGCAUAACAUUGAGCCCUAUCAUCUUGACGAGCUACUUCCCUGCCUGGUUACGCUGCACUUCUGCAUGCGUUACUAUUUCCUCUACCCCCCACGGCCUCGCUGAUUACCUCCUCACCCACCUUAUGGACGCCCUCGACCAUUAUUACCAUUUUCCGCGGGUACCACUUAUCUAGUCUGUUGUUGCACGGAAUCCAUCAUGCGCGGGUGGGGACAAUCUCUCCUCAUAUGCCCAGGUUUUCCACAAUUGUAGCAAGUACGAUCAAAAGAUGGUCUGCCUCCCGUCAAAGGCGUGACUCCUUGACUAUCCUGAAUCAAAUUAUGAGGUGGAGUUCCUGAGUAGUUACCUGUAGAGGUGGGAAUAUCAGACUGAAUUGGCUUGGAUGCAAGCAUUGGCCUUCCGUACCCCCUGGAGUAAGAACCUUGAAAGUUACCCGAGUUCUUGGCCAUUUUAGCCAAUGCCUUAGCUUGACUGUCUCGCCUCACCCCCUCCACUUUCUUAACAAAGUCAGUUACCUCAUUAAAGCUCCUCCCUGCAGAGGUCAUAUGAAUAGAUAAUACCUGCAACUCAGAAUUUAGUUCCCUAAUAAAUAAACGGAUCUUGUCUUCCUCAGUAGUUACCAAUUGAGUUGCAUAUCUAGACAAAGCAUGUAACUUGGCCUCAUAAGCAGCCACAGACAUACCACCUUGCUCUAAAGCCAUGAACUCAUCCUUCUUGCGAUCUCUCAAAGUCCUAGGAACAUAUUUCUCUAAAAACAGAGCAUGAAAUUGGGUCCAAGAGAGUGGGGGUAAUGUUGAAGAUCUGCACUCUACAUAAGCUCUCUACCACUGCUUAGCCUCACAUUGAAGUUGGAAAGUCACGAACUCAACCCCAUGCUGAUGGACAAUUCCCAACUUAUGAAACCUCUCAUAGCAGUCUAAGAUAAACUCAUAAGCAUCCUCAUUCUCAGAACCAAGAAAUACAGGAGGCUUUAGCUUCAAAAACUUAGUCAACAUCUCAUGUUCAUUACCAGUCAUAACAGAACCCAUCAAAGGACGGAAGAAAACAUCAUUACCUCCAGUCCCACCCACCUUGGGCACAGAGCUAGCAACAUGGGGAUUAGCGGGAGCUUGAGUUGCUUGAACAGAGAGAAGCACUCCAGGACCAACCAACCCUUUCAAGAAUGACAUGAUAUGUUGAGCUAACACUGGGUCCAAAUAAGAAAUACAUGUAGUUUCAGCUUGCACCUUUUCCUCUUGUCUAACCUUCUCAACACUUUCAAACUCAACAUUCUCCUCUAUCUCUUCAUGAUGCACAUGAGGGGCCUCAUUUUGGGGAGCAUUUUCUAUCGGUACCCAUCUCUAGUAGGCGUCACUCUUCCACAGCCUCUACCCCUUGCUCUUCCUUUACCCAUGCCUCGACCAUGACCUCUCGCUGCAGAUUUCUCAGCUGAAGCAUUGAUGAGAGCUACGGGCCUGACGUCAUUUAAUGUAUUGUUAACCAUCUGUGGACAGAAGAGUGAAGGAGGUCAUAUACCAAUUUGAAUCGCCAGAUAUCAAUUGGAAUCAAGUCAUAGCACGAAAUGAGACAAGAGAAAACAGAGAGAUUUCCUAAAGUCCUAUAGCCUGUCGAAGAAAAGUAAAGGUGUCCCUGGACCGUUCCGCAAGACUCUACUAGACUCAUUUUGGUACAUCGAGAUCAACGAACCUAGGCUCCGAUACAACCUUUGUCACGACCCAGACCAUCGUGAUUGACACCCACACUAACCCUCUGAUGGGAGAACCACUACUACAACCCAAACCAAACAACUAAACCAAAAACUAAAGCAUUUAAGUUACGGAUGCAAGUUAAAUACCUAAAAACUAAAGUUCUCAUAAACUUCCAAAAAAUCUAACAACUAAACAAAUACGGAAAUACUACCUAGAACUUCAAAGUCAAUGUACCAAAACAUCUAAUAAUGAACCAAAGUCUAAACAAGAAGGGUUACAAACCCAAACUAACGAACUAAUAACUAACUAGAAAGUCUAAGUCUGAAAUGUGGACAUAGACAAAAGGAGAACUCAUGGCAACAUGAAAGAACUGGCUCACCCUUGAAUUCGAUCGGCGAUCACUGAUCUUCUAAACGAGGUAUGUCAAUAGCCGCUUGAAAAUGCCCUGUACUCAACAAAGAAAGAGCAAGUGCAGUAUCAGUACAUAACCACAGUGUACUGGUAGGAUCACGCGGCUAUCCCACUAAGUGCAACGUACACAAGUUAAUACAACAAUAUAAUCACAUGCAUAUAUCAAACAUAUACAAUAUUAUCAACAUUUACGAACAAUGAACAACUUCACAUUUCUCAAGAUACACAAAUAUGACAAGUCAUUGGUCCUCUCAUGGAACUCAAACCCAAACAAUUAGCAUACCGGAACGUGGUACCUAAUCCAAUGAUUAUGCUGGAACGUGGCAACCGAUCCCAAGUUAGUGUGUCGGAACGCAACACCUGAUCUAUUCAACAAGCCACAAUCACAAUCACAAGGUACAUUUUCAUAAUCAUACAAUCAAGUCAUGAUUCGUGGCAUUCAUCAUUCAUAUAUCCUCAUUUACAAUUAAUGUGAUCAAUAAUGCAACAUUCGCAUACAUACAUGUAUCAUAAUGAAGCAAGAACGAACAUACAUCACACAAUCAUAGAAUCAUAACCAUCACCUACCUCAAAACAAGCUUGAAACCCUAAGAAACUUGAUCCUUCCCUUUUCGAAUUAGUUUCACUAAUUGUUCUUGGUUUACAAACAAUCAAUAUAAUACGAGAAUCAAUAAACAAUCACUAAUUACUCGGAUUACUAAUAAUUCUAGCAACCCUAGAUCAUACCCAUAAUCCCAAGUAUCCCAAUUAGGGAUUUUUUCACCAUAGGUUCUAGAUCAAAACCCUCCCCCAUCGAUAAUUACCCAUUCAAUUAUGUUCUACGGAUCGAAAAAUGGAUUCGGGGAGUUGAAAUCUUACCUUUAACCUCAAGAAUGGUGGAAAACCGUGAAGAAAAGCCCUAGGUUCGUUCCUUAGCUCUCAAAAUUGAAAAGUGCAAAAUAAAAUGUUUUUGGGGUUUAUUUACAACUUUAAGUCGCAUCUGGGCCGCCACAACGAUCCUCACCCCACUAUAGUGGCCCCGCCUGGUGACUGAAAUCACCGCCAAAGCGGCUUGCACGAAACAGUGAGCAAAUUAAAGAAUUCCAAAACCCCCAUUUCAUAACCGCCUUCAAUCAGCGACACUCAGAAACUACCUGCUCACGUUAUGAUCAAUUUCGGGAGUUCUACUCGCCUGAAUUCAAUUACGUAAAGUCGUACAGAUUUCUUAACGAUUUAUCUAACUACUCAUGAAGUCAAAAUCAUAAUUAGAUCACCCAAUUGCUACCAGAUUUCUCUAGACUUUAUUGACUCUGAUUUCGUCCAAAUCUAGACUAGGUUGAGAAAUUCCAAGUUACUACAAAAAAGUUUUCCGACCCAAAAUUUUCCCCCGUUGGCUUUUUUAUAACGUCAAAACCCGAUCGUUACACUAAGUGUACGUUUUUCAUAAAGUGGACAAGUAUUGUAAGACAUCUUAAAAUAAUAUAGUAAACAACUAUUGUUAAACAUGUCCGGGGUGUAACAUUGGAUUCGGUAUAAAUGAGUUAAUUAUUAAGUUAUGGCGGAAUGACCUGGGAGACCCUUGUACUGGACUCCGUUUGUAAGUUGGACCCUUGUACUAAUCAAUUUGUCAACUGAACCCCUAAACUCAUCAUAACGUAAUAUUUUAAGCUUUUUUUCAUCUGACUAGUGUGUGUGAAGUACAAUUGCUUACACGUGGACUUCCAUGUCAUUUUUAAUGACAUGUAAGAAAUUACAUGUUAUAAAGUAAAAAAAUCAAUUAAGCCAAUUUUGUAAUUUCUGGAAAUUUUAGAUAAGCAUUUUUAAAAAAAUAAAAUAUAUUCCAAAUAAGCGUGUUCUUCAUAUUUAUUCCAAAUUGAACACUAUUAGCCCCCGUUUGGCCAUGCGACAUGGUAUCAUAAUAUGGAAUCAUGAGAUGAAAUUAAAGUUUUGUUUGGAUAUGCGAUAUAUAAUUUUUGUGUUAUAUAUUUUCUCAUACUCAUAAGAAUCCCAUAAGUUGUAAAACUAUUAAAAUAACCCUAAUUGUUUAUUCAAUCUUACCAAAUAAACAAAAAUUUACAAAAUCACAUAAUAAAUUAUUACAAAGCUAUUUGUUUCCCACUUAAGUAACUGUUUCAUCAAGCUUUAAUUCAAUAAAAAAUAUUGAACAUAAAUUGUAGUGAACUAGUCUUAAAUAUAAUCCUCCCACAUAAUACAGACAAUCUCCUCACGUUGAACUUGCAUUUCUCGAUCAUGUGACCCAGAAGACAACCAACAUUGUUACUUUGAGCCAUUUUUUGGUCAAUAUCAUCUGCAACUAUAUUUUCAUGAUCAUAGACCAUAAAUAUUUCAUUACUCCUUUUCACAACUAAUUAUGUAACACUGCACAAGUUAUGACAAUUUUCACUUGUGUGUCAAUAUCAUAAUGGUUCAUGCCUUGUUUCAGUAUUUUGAAUCUAUUUUUCCAAGCUCCAAAAGUCCGUGGGGUUGUCUUAACAAAAUAUAAACUUGUGGAUCAAUUUUUGUGUUUAAAAAAUCUCAAAUCAUGAUAUGAAAUUCCCAUAUAAUUCCAUAUCAUGAUUUUUGGAGAAUAUGGUAUUCCAUCUCAUGAUAUGGAAUCAUGAGAUGGAAUCAGUGUGAAAUCACAUGUCCAAACGCUGAUUCCAUCUCACGAUUCCAUAACGUGAUAUGGUAUCGCAUGGCCAAACGCCUACUAAAUUCAUGUCAAAUAGAUGAGAUUUUUCCCCAUUUGACUUGAAAAUUCAAAUACAAGUUCACCACCACAAAUCCAACUAAUCCUAAUCACAAUUUUUAAUCAAUUUCACAAAUUCACAAGACCCAUUUGCUAUUUUUCAAGCUUUCUCUAACUUAUCAAUGGAGUUUUAAUUUUCAAUAUCCACCAUUAUUCUUUGUAUUGCUAUUUUUCAAGUUUUCUCUAACUUAUCAAUGGAGUUUUAAUUUUUCAAUAUCCACCAUUAUCCUUCGUGAUAAUCCAUACUUAGACCUCUUUUUUGAAGCCUAAAAAAAAAAUCUCAAUACUUUUAGACUAAAAAGCUAAAAUCUAAAAGACUUUUAGACUAAGUGGUUAGGCUGGGCGGCUGAUUUGUAAUGAAAAAGAAGUGUGGGUUGAGAAGAAAGUGGAUGAAGGAGAGAAUGAAGAGGAGGACAGUGAGUGUGGUGGAUGAAAUUUCAAGAAGAAUAAGAAGAGAGAAAGGGGGAUGGGGACGGAGGAGAGAGGGGUGGGGGUGGGGUGGGAGAGGGAUGGUUAAGGAAGAUGAUUUUUUUUUAAAUUGAUAAUUAUUAUUUUUAUUUAAAUUUUUUUAAUGUAAAAUACCUUAUUUAAUCGCUGUCAAACGCGUGUUAUCACGUAAAUUUCCAACUCAACAUUAUCAAUGCCACAUAAGUUCGGUCAAUGGUCAAAUGGGGUUUAAAAUAUUGUGUUCUGAUGAGUUUAGGGGUUCAGUUGACAAAUUGAUAAGUAGAAGGAACCAACUUACAAAUGGAGCCAAGUACAGGGGUCUCCCAGGUCAUUCUGCCUUAAAUUAUUAAAGAGAAAAAGGAAAAAAAAGAGUGAUCAACUUUAUCUAACUAUUGACAAUCGAAAGAGUAUUAAUUAUUUAUAUUCUUGCAACACUUUAUGUACACAAUAUUAAUCUUUUUUAUAAAAAAAAAGUGAAUUCUUUGACUAACACAUUGACUAGUAAAAUAUGCGUGAGUUUGCACUUUAUAACAGGUCUUGGAGAAUGUUUGGUUUGUCAGAGACAUAAAAAUGAUUCAUGUAAUCCAACAUUUAAUAUGUAUUCUUACUCUAUUUAAUUUGUUUUUGUUUCAUUUUUGUUAUCUCCUGCAUUAAGGUUAGCAAAACAGAAACAGAAAAUAGAUGAAACAGACAUAAUAUAAAUAAUCCGAGUGCACAGAACCCACUGUGUUUCCUUAAGAAAUUUAAUCCCCUCAAGUACCCGAGAUUGCAGAUUAAUUACUCCCAAGAUAAAACGGAUUAACCUAUUAGAGAAGUAGCGGUACCUCAAACUUCAAUAAUUUCAGCGAACGCAAGAACAGUAAUGAGAGCACACACAGACUCGGUCGAUCAAUAAUUUUGUUUAUGUAAGAAAAUGUAUGCAGAGAGGAAAAAAUUUCAGUGUUGAAAAACGUAAAAAGAGUCUCUAUUUAUAGCCACUUGCAGCAAGGAAUGCGUCUGUUCGACAAUGGUGUGAACACUUCUGUUCAGACAUGUCUUUCCAGAAUGUUGUGUCUUUUGGGAAAAAUAACGUCUUUUCAGAAGGAACAGAUCCCUUCAAAAUGAUGUUACUGUUACACACAAAUUUCAAAUAAAUCAUGUUACGCGAAAUUAAUUUUAUUAAUUAACUAACAUCCUGAAUUAAUUUAUAAGAGAAAGGAAAUCAAUUAAUGAGAUUGAUUAAAUAAUUUUUGUCCAAAAAUAUUAUCAAUCAAUAACAUCAUUUGCCAAAUCCAAAUCCAAAGCCAAAGCCAAAUCCGAAGCCGAAGUAGAGCGAACAAUGACAACGACGACGCGAGGGGGCACCUUCUUCUUAACCCUUUAAGAACUAAAAGAAGUGUUUCUUUAUAUAAGGACAACCAUUUUCCUUUCUUCAACCAAUAUGGGAGAAAUGACUUUUCAUUUUCCCUCCAAAUUGGUUCCCUCACAUUUCCAUUUUAUCUUCUUAUUUCCCAUUCACAUCUUGCUAAAACCCAACAAUCCCCCACAUGAAUGGGGAAUGGAUAUUGUUAAAACAUAUGCAUGAAAAACUUGUGUGUCUCGUAAGUAAGGAUUAAUCGCAUCUGGAUAAGUAUGUUUCCCUUUAAACUUUCUGUAGUGAACAUAUAUCGAAUAUACUCGGUCAAUUGGUAGAUUUGAUAUCUUUGAACCGUCGAGCUUUGGUGUAUACCUAAACAACAUAAGUCACACAAUCAACCCUUGAACUGUUUUUGAUUCUCAUUGUUUUGUUCAUUUCAGCCAUGAACACGUCUUGGUUAAUAAGUGCUUAGAGAACUGGCCUUACUGAAUUCUUCUUGAAGCGGCUUACACUUCACACUUACAUAGGUGGUUUCUAACUGUGUUAUCCCAUAGAUACACUAUUAUAUACCCUGUAUCAAAUUUAAAAACCAUUAAAAAGUCCUUAUGCCUUUAUCCUGGUUACUGAACAUUGUCUCAUCAGGAGAAUGAACCAUAAAAUAAAUUUUGACAAUGUUGAACCGUCAUCUAUGACUUUGUUUGAUCUCAUUGAACCUAGAUCUUGGGAUCUCCAGUCUUCUAGGUAAAGUUACUGCCACGAUGACUUGUUAGCGGCCAUAGUCCCAUUCCCGUCGAUGAUCUCUCAACUCCCUCUCUAGUUAGGCCUUUUGUAAGUGGAUCCGACACAUUAUCCUUUGACUUCACAUAGUCAAUUGUGAUAAUUUCACUAGAGAGUAGUUGUCUAACCGAGUUAUGUUUUCGUCGUAUGUGACGAGAUUUUCCGUUACACAUAACACUUCCAGCCGUUUCUAUUGCAUCUUGACUAUCACAUUGUAUGCAUAUAGGGGCCAUUGGUUUUGGCCAAAACGGAAUAUCUUCUAAGAAAUUCUGGAGCCAUUCAACUUCUUGACUUGCCUUGUCUAAGGCGAUGAAUUCAGCCUCCAUUGUAGAGCGAGCUGUACAUGUUUGUUUGGAUGAUUUCCAAGAUAUUGCUCCUCCACCAAUAAUGAAAACAUAUUCACUCGUGGAUUUCGUUUCAGUUGACCAAGUAAUCCAAUUUGCAUCACUAUAUCCUUCAAGAACUGCUGAAUAUUUGUUGUAAUGCAAAACAUAGUUUUGAGUGUCAUCUAAGUACCCCAAAACUCUCUUCAUUGCCAUCCAAUGAUUUUGAUUGGGAUUACUUGUGUAUCAACUCAGUUUACUUAUAGCGCAGGCUAUAUCUGGUCAUGCACAAUUCAUGACAUACAUCAAACUUUCCAAUAUUCUGGCAUAAUCCAAUUGAGACUAACUUUCACCUUUAUUUCUAGCAAGAUUAAGGUUCACAUCAAUUGGGGGUUUUGCCCUUUAGAAUUUCAAAUACUUGAACUUUUCAAGUACCUUUUGAAUAUAAUGAGAUUGAGACAAUGCUAGACCGUUAGGAGUUUUGUGAAUCUUAAUUCCGAAUAUCAAAUCGGCAACUCCUAGAACUUUCAUAUCAAACUUGUUAGCGAGCAUACGCUUAGUAGCUUUUACAUUAGCAAUGUCAUUGCUCAUUAUCAGCAUGUUAUCCACAUAUAGGCAUACAAUGAACUCCUGAUUCGGAGUGUCUUUAAUGUAGACACAUUUAUCACAUUCAUUUAUUUUAAAUCCAUUUGACAACAUGAUUUGAUCAAACUUUGCAUGCCAUUGUUUCGGUGCUUGUUUUAGUCCAUAAAGUGACUUAACAAGUUUGCAUACUUUCUUUUCUUUAUCGGGAACUACGAAGCCCUCAUGUUGUUCCAUGUAAAUCUCUUCCUCUAGCUCUUCAUUUAAGAAGACGGUUUUCACAUCCAUUUGAUGGAUUUCAAGAUCGUAUACUGUAGCUAGGGCAAUGAACAUUCGAAUUGAUGUAAUCUUAGUCACUGGCGAGUAUGUGUCAAAAUAAUCAAGACCUUUUUCUGUCUAAAGCCUUUGACAACAAGUCUUGCUUUAUAUUUGUCAAUAGUUCCAUCAUCUUUCAUCUUCCUUUUGAAGAACCAUUUCGAACCCAAAGGUUUGUUCCCUGGAGGAAGAUCAACCAAUUCCCAGGUAUGAUUGCUUAAGAUUGAUUCAAUCUCACUAUUGGCAGCCUCCUUCCAAGAGGUUGAGUCGCUAGACAACAUAGCUUCUUUGAAUGUUUGAGGCUCACUUUCAAAAAGGAAUGUUACAAAAUCAUAUCCAAAUGAAGUAGUUAUCCUUUGACGUUUACUGCGCAUUAGACUCUCUUCAUUAGGUUCAUUCUCUUUUGGUUCUUCUCGAGGUCGUUUAGACCCCUCAGUAGAUGACUUAAGUCUAGUUUUAUAGGGAUAGAUAUGUUCAAAGAAUUCAACAUUAUUUGAUUCCUUUACCGUAUUGUCAUGAAUAUCCGGAUGUUCGAACUUAUGAACCAAAAAUCGACAUACCUUAUUAUUUGUGGCAUAUCCAAUGAUUACACAAUCCACAGUCUUCCACCCUAUUUUCACCCUCUUAGGUAUAGGAACUUGGACUUUGGUUAGACACCCCCACACUUUGAAAUAUUUCAAGUUGGGUUUUCCACCUUUCCAUUUCUCAUAUGGAAUAACAUGUGUCUUGCUAUGAGGCACUCUAUUGAGUAUUCGACUUACUGUAAGGAUAGCUUCCCCCCACAAGUUUUGUGGUAAAACCUGAACUUAUAAGUAAGGCAUUCAUCAUUUCCUUUAAAGUUUGGUUUUUCCUUUCCGCAAUUCCAUUAGAUUGAGGAGAGUAAAGAGCAGUAGUUUGAUGGAUAAUUCUAUUUUCCAAACAUAUUUCUGCAAAUGGAGAUUCAUAUUAUCCACCUCUAUCACUUCUGAUCAUUUUGAUCUUUUUAUCCAACUGAUUUUCAACUUCAGUUUUAUAUUGCUUAAAUGCAUCUAUUGCUUCAUCCUUGCCAUUUAGCAAGUAGACAUAACAAUAUCUAGUGCAAUCGUCAAUAAAAGUUAUGAAAUACUUUUUCCCACCACGUGUUGGUGUUGACUUUAUGUCGGUGUGAAUCAGUUCAAAGGGAUAUGAAUUCCUUUCAACAGACUUAUAAGGAUGCUUAGCAUACUUAGAUUCAACGCAAACUUGGCAUUUGAUUUAUUGCACUCAAAUUUAGGCAAAACAUUUAAGUUAAUCAGUUUUCGCAAGGUUUUGUUAUUAAUGUAUCCCAAACGUUCAUGCCAUAAACAUUUAGACUCAAGCAAGUAAGAAAAACAGAAUCUUUAUUCAUAUCAACUACAAUUACAUUGAGUUUGAAGAGGCCCUCAGUGAGGUAACAUUUUCCUACAUACAUCUCAUUCUUACUUACUACAACUUUAUCAUAAACAAAUACACAUUUGAAUCCAUUCUUGGUAAGAACUAGUAUAGAAACUAAGUUCUUUCGCAAUACUGGAACAUACAAGACCCUGUUCAAAGUCACCACCUUGCCCGAUGUCAUCUUCAAGUGGACCUUGCCAGUUCCUUCAACCUUUGCAGCAGCGGAGUUCGCCAUAAAUAACUUCUCGUCUGCUGGUGCUGGAGUAUAUGAUGCAAAUAAUUCUUUGUUGGCACAAACAUAGCAUGAGGCACCAGAAUCUAUCCACCAUGCUCUUGAAUUUCCAACCAAGUUGCAUUCUGAAAGCAUUGCACAGAGAUUGCCCAUCUCUUCUUUGGAUUCAGCCAAAUUUGUUUGAUCAUUCUUCUUGUCUUUCUUGGGACCCCGACAUUCAGUAGCCCUAUGACCAUGUUUGCCACAAUUGAAGCAGUUUCCAUUGAAUUUCUUCUUAGGAGGAUUGCUCUUUGGACCAGAUGCUCUAUUUCUUUUCUUUGAUUUUGUGGGAUUUUCUUCAACAAUAUUUACUCCAGAUAUUGUUGAAUUACCACGUGACUUCUUUUCUGUGGCCUUGUUAUCCUCUUCGAUUCUCAGCCUUACCAUGAGAUCUUCAACAGUCAUCUCCUUGAAUUUAUGUUUCAAGUAGUUUUUUAAGUCCUUCCACAACGGUGGUAACUUCUCAAUAAUGGCCGCCACUUGAAAAGCAUCAUUCACAAUCAAUCCUACAUUGAAGAUUAUGUGAGUAUUAAGAAUAGACUUAAUAUGUUCAACAUAGGCAUUAAAUAAAGUUAUACCUUCAGCAAGGAAAUCAUGGAUUAUGACCUGCAGUUCUUGAACUUGGGUGACGACGGUCUUAUUGUCUAUCAUCUUAUAGUCCAAAAAACUUUGCCAUAAUGAACUUCUUCAUUCCGGCAUCCUCUGUUUUGUACUUCUUUUCUAGAGCAUCCCAGAGUUCUUUUGAGGUCUUGACUCUACUGUACACAUUGUACAGAUCAUCUUGCAGGCCACUCAGAAUAUAGUUUUUAGACAAAAAAAUCUGAAUGUGUCCAUGCUUCUGUCACCAAGAAUCGUUCUUCGGUCGGAGUUUUAUCCGACAUAACAUGAACAUUCUCAUUAAUGAACAUCUGCAAACUCAACGUAGUCAGAUAGAAGAACUUCUUAUGCUUUCAUCUCUUGAAGUCGACUCAAGAAAACUUUGCAGGUUUCUCAGCCGGUGCAAGGGCAGCAGUUGAACGAUUGUGUGUAACCAAUCUUGUUGCAACACUCACUGUUCCAACAAUUACUUAACUUGAAUUUGUCAUUUUUCUGUCACAAAUGGCAGACAAUUUUAGUAUGUGAAAUACUAGCACUAAAGAAUAAAUCCUUACACAGCCUGUUUCUGAUUUAAUGAUAAAGUUUUUAUGUUUCUUUUAAUCGUUAAUCGAAUGAAUUUUAAAAAUUCAAACAGAGUAGAAAACCAUAAAGGUUUUAAUCUCCAGAAACCUCAAAUACAAAAACUACUAAAUUUCUUAAGCUUGUUAUCUCAUGUAUUAAGGUUAGCAAAACAGAAAAUAGAUGAAACAAACAGAAUAUAAAUAAUCCGAGUCCACAGAACCCACUGUGUUUCCUUAAGAAAUUUAAUCCCCUCAAGUACCCGAGGUUGCAGAUUAAUUUCUCCCAAAAUAAAAUGGAUUAACCUAUUAGAGUCCAAGAUAAAACGGAUUAACCUGUUAAAGAAGUAGCGGUACCUCAAACUUCAAUAACUUCAGCGAACGCAAGAACAACAACAAAAGUACACACAGACUCAGUCGAUCGACAAUUUGUUUAUGUAAGAAAAUGUAUGCAGAGAGGAAAAAAAUUCAGUGUUGAAAACUGGAAAAAAAAUCUCUAUUUAUAGCCACUUGCAGCAAGGAACGCGUCUGUUCGACGAUGAUGUGAACGCUUCUGUUCAGACAUGUCAUUCCAGAAUGUUGUGUCUUUUGGGAAAAAUAACGUCUUUUCGGAAGGAACAGGUCCCUUCAGAACGAUGUUACCGUUACACGCGAAUUUCAAAUAAAUCUCGUUACGCGAAAUUAAUUUUGUUAAUUAACUAACAUCCUGAAUUAAUUUAUAAGAGAAAGGAAAUCAAUUAAUGAGAUUGAUUAAAUAAAUUUUGUCCAAAAAUAUUAUCAAUCAAUCACAUCAAAAUCCAAAGCCGAAGCUGAGCAAACGACGACGGCACGAGGGGGCACCUUCUUCUUAAUCCUUUAAGAACUAAAGGAAGUGUUUCCUUAUACAAGGACAACAAUUUUCCUUUCUUCUACCAAUAUGGGAGAAAUGACUUUUCAUUUGCAAUUUGCAAUGACUUUUCAUUUUCCCUCCAAAAUUGAUUCCCCCACAUUUCCAUUUUCUCUUUUUAUUUCUCAUUCACACCUUGCUAAAACCCAACAAUUUUUUCUUAGAAUUUUUUAAUUGAAUAUAUAAGGUCAUGUUUUCAUCUAACUCAAGAUCGUAGCUGUGUAUAUGCUUAUCCCCAAGGAUGUCAUAAUAGAAAAAGUUUAUCUGAAUACACAACUUCUUUUACCAUAAUUUUAAAAAUUCUUUUCAUUUGAAAAAAUAUAUAUUCUAUUUUCUCCCAUGUUCGGAUACAUCACUUUACGCAAUGUAUGAGACAUAUGCGAUGUAUCGAGACGUUGAGUGAUGUAUCCAAAACCAAGACAUCGACAGGGACGGAGCCAGCCUUUUGUUACGAGGUACAUCCGAACCCCCUUCGACGGAAAAUAUUACUAUUUAUACAUGGUUAAAAUUAUUUUUUAUGUAUAUAUAGUAGAUGUUGAACCCCCUUCGGUUAGUUCGUGUGUUUAGUUCUUCGAAUUUUGAACCCCUUUAUUAAAAAUUCUAGCUCCGCCACUGGUCACAUCGAUAUAUCGAGACGUUGAGUGAUGUAUUCGAAACCAAGAUACGAUGUAUCAGGAUGAUGAGUGAUAUAUCCGAAAUUAUGACGUGAUGUAUCAUGACGUUUUGGGAUAUAUCUUAAUUCCACCAAAUUUAAAGGAUUUUUAUAAUUUGGAAAAGAAUAGAAUAUGAUGUAAUUAGCUCUUAACACUAUGAAAUUUGUGUAAAAAGUUCAUAAAAUUCUUCAACAAAAAUUUAUAUAUAUACAUAUUAUAAAUAUUUAAGUUUGAAUACUAUUAAUUUUAUAUGGUUACUUAAUGUUAUGAGAAAUAUUGAAAAAUAAAAAUAAAUCUCACUUAAUUUUAAUAAAAUAAACAAUAAAAAAUAUUUUUAAAUAUAAAGAAUAUGUAAAAUCAACUCAAAAGUAAUUAGUAUGGGUCAGUAUUUGGGGCGUGGUUAUUUUAUUACCAUCAAAACUAUCAUUAAUAAAGGAACCAUGAUAAAGAUAUCUUUGAAAGGAAUUUGAUUUAUUUUCCUCUUGGGGGAAAGUAAUAAGGUUCAUCCAGUGAUACACUCUCCGUUAAUUUUAUUUAUUCAUGAUAUUAAAUAUUUUUAUUUAUUUAUUUACUUUUAACAUAUUUAGAAAAAAAUAAAUUAUUAUUUCGUAUUAAUUAUUCAUUUCAAAUCAUUUCUCAAAUUCAUUAAAAUAUCUAUUAGGGAAAAUGAUGCAGAAUAGCAAGCAUGUAGCCUAUAUUAGCUAUUAUAGUUAUAGUUUAAGAAAGUUGUAAUUUGCGGAUACAAUUUUCUCAAUUAUUGUUAUUCGCCUGAUUUGUAUAAACUCAGAAUUUACAUAAUUCUGUUCUUGAUUGUAUAAAUUCAAAAUUUCAUAGCAAAUCACAGCCUCCAUACCAAACGAAAUUAUAGCUAUAGAACGCAAUUAUCGAAACUAUAGUUAUAUUUAUUAUCAUUAAAAUUAUCUUUUUUAUUAUUUUGUACUCUAAUAGGCAUACAAAAUUACAUAAACAAGUAGAAAUAAAUGGAAGAAAUUCACACUCCAUGCCCCAAUGAAUGCAACUUGUUGACCUCCUACAUCCAUCAGUUCAUGAACAUCCUCUUAUGCAUAUCAAUUAUCAUACCUCAUAAAUGAAGCUAAAAUCAUUUAAAUCAUUUCCCUUUCCAAGAAAAUCAUUAAUUUUUUUCAUUCAUGAACCUUCUUAUAAAGUACCCAAAGCAGCAAUUAAUCAUGAACUUUUUUAUAGGAUAUAUGGACUGUAAUUAGGUGUCAAAGAGAGUUGAACUAGCUAGCUGAUUUAUUUCCAUAAGUGAAGUCUAUAUUAAUUCUGGCUGUGUUUGUUUGGUGCAUCUCAAAAGGAAAGUAAUUAUUUAACAAAAAAAAAGAAGUAAAUAUUUAAACCAAAAAUAAAUAAAUAAGAGUUAGAUUUUUAUCAAGAGAUAUAAAAUAUAAAGGGAAAAGAGUUCGAUAUACCCCUCAACUUUGUCAUUUAGGGCUGAUAUACCUCUCUCAUUCUAAAAGUAGCUCAUAUAUAUCCCUAUUGUUACACAAAUGAAUCACAUAACCCUUUUCCUCUAACGGGAGUGAAAUAAUAAUUUUAAAUUAAUUUUUAUUAGUUUUUUUUAUUAAAACAAUAAUCCAUGUAGGGAUAUAUUUUAUUCUUUUUAAGUUUUUUUAAUUCAACGGCUAAUUUGAAUUUAUUAUUUUGAUGGUCAAAUUUAUUCUUUUCACUUAUUUUCUUAUAAUCUUUACUAUAGAUAUCCUAAUUUUUUUUUACAUAUACUAAAUUAAUUACAAUUGCAAAAAAAGUAGUUUUAUUUUUUUCCCUUUUUUUUUCAUUCACAUUAAAUUUUUUUCUCUUGCAUUCUAUCAUUAAUAUGUGCUACUUGUACCUUCUAGUGAAUGAACUCAUUCUUUUUAUCUUAUCUAAUUUGAUAUGACUUCACAUUCAUCUUAGCAUUCACAUUUUUGCAACAAUCAUCUUGUGGUUAUAUUGAUGGUCUUAUAUUUGUUCUAAAAAACUUAUCCUUCACUUUGAUGGUCAUUCCUCAAUCACAUAAUAUUUUGGUAAUACUUUUCCAUUUCAACCAUCUGAUUUUUAUUCCUAUGAGUACCAUCUUCAUUUAUAUAUAUCAUCUAUCAUUGACGAUAAUUUUUUUUCUCUUUUUUCAGCGUUGAACUAUGAAAAACACGUUCGGUCAUAAAAUUUCAAAAUUCAACUUGAAGUUUAACUACAAAAAUGUUUAAAAUUUGAAAAAUAGCAAAAAUGUGUUUUCACUCUAAAUUACUCAUAAAAGAUAACAACAAAAAAAACUCCAAUUUGCAUUCAUAGCUCCGAUUUAAAAAUAUCAAUGGUAAUAAAAAUUACUUUUUUUCCAAAUUCCACAAUGAAAUUCUCACUUUAGAUUUUUAUCUUAGUUAAGUAAUUUAAAUAUAGGAUUAUAAGACAACAGCGCCUGUAGCUCAGUGGAUAGAGCGUCUGUUUCCUAAGCAGAAGGUCGUAGGUUCGACCCCUACCUGGCGCGUUAUUAUUUUGUUUUGUUAAUAUUUAUAGGAUAAUGCAGUUACUAAAAAAAACAGACUCUCAAAGUAAUAAAAUAAAAUAAAAUUGUUUCCACGUCAAUGAUAUUCUUAAUCUCUUUUUUACUCAAUAAGUAAUUUGCGAUCAUUGUCUUUUUGCAUAUUUUGCCUUUCAUGAGUGGACGGACAAUCUUUCGAUAGAAGCAUUAGCAGCGACAAAUUAGAAGAUAAGUGUGAAAAAAAGGAUUUGAGAUUUCUUCAAGAUUGAAACAAAGAGUGGUUACUAUUCUAAAUUACUCAUUAAUUAUUUAAUUUUCUUACUAAUAUAUCUAGUUGAUUCUAAUAUUACUAGUUAACAAGAUUAAAAAUUAUUCAGUUUGCAGAAGCUUUAUUUAUUUAUAUCCAACAAUGUUAUUUUUUUUCAACUUGUACCCAAGAUGUUUUCAUUGAAUAAUUUAAAAUUUCAUAUUAUAGUUAUACAAUCAAAUCUUUACUUAAAACCAAACUUGAAUUAAAAUCUACCAAACUUGCACUUAAAGACCAUCAAACAUAAAAGAAGACACCGUAUCCAAUUUAAAUUGUACCGAAAUCACCAAAUCAACACGAACAUUUCCCAUGUAAUUAGCAUUUUUAGUGAAAGUUUUGGAUAAUUAGUACUUAUAAAUAUUAUUAUUAAGAUUAUUUUAUUUAAAAUUUUGAAAAUUGAUUAGCAAGUACCAACACCAUAUAAUAUCAUCAUGUAAAUCUUUAUGUUUAAAUUUUUAUUUUUAUAUUAAAAUUUACGCUUAAAAAUUUAUUCAAAAAAUAUAUUUUUUAAAAAGUGGGUUGGUCCAUAAACCACAGGCCCGACCCGCUCUAGCGAAUUUCAACGUUGUACUUGAUAUGUUAAACUUGAUAUACAGUAAAUAAAAUGCUACCAAACAUGCUACUAGUUAGCUUGAUUUUAGUACAUGUGUAAUUCACUUCCUAACAAUUAAUCAAACUAUUCUAUAAGUAUUAAAUGACUUUUAGGGUGUGCUCCGAAUGAUAAAAUUUUAAUUAAUCAAUUUAUUGAAAAAUAUUUUUUCUGGGUAAACAAGUUCCUUAAAAUGAGAACUCCCUUUUAGACGUCGAUAAUACAAGUUUCACAAAUGACAUUCCACAGUGAUCUUAGUCUUCCUCACCCUUCAUCACAUCUAAUCUUCACCCUACCUCCUUAGCACCCAUCAUUACCCUCGUCUUCACUCUCAAUAAAUUUGUAAUCAUAUAUAAAAAAAUAAAUUAAGAUAAUAUUUAAUAUUUAUGUCGAACACAUCCUUAAGGAUUGUUUGGAAUGGGAUAUAUAAAAUUAUCCCACCAUAUAUAUGAAAUAACUUAUUCAUCAAUAUAGUACAAAUGACGGACCCAUAGUCCUAAAACUAACAAGUACAGCCUCUAUUUACUUGUCCACUAAUUUAAAAAUAUGUUUUCACUUUUAACAUAUCAAAAAAGACAAUCAUUUUUUCCUAUUUUACCUCAUUCAUUUUCCAAAACCCAUCAAUAUACUACAUCAAUUAAUAUUUAUCAAUAAAAUACUCAUAUCAAUCAUUAUUUCUUGAUGGACGUGCAAAAUUCGAAAUGAAAGUAAAAGUGAACAAAAGAGAAUGCCUAAUCAAUAUUAUUCUAAAAUUAUUAUCUCUUAUUUUCAUACCAAACGACCCAUUAAAAGUAUAAAUAAAUACAUUACAUUACUUUUUUUCCAUAAGAAAAUAAGGUAAAACAAAAAGAAAGAUAUGAAAUAAAAUUGAAAACCAAAAUAUGUUAAGGCCGACAUGAACCGCGCGCUACCAUGAGCAUAUAACAGACUACAGAGUAUUCAAAAAAGAAAAAAGAAAAACUGUCUUCCUCUUCUUCGUGCCAUUAACGGAUGUCGAGAAAAUAGGAAGAGAGCGACGGAUAUAGAGAGAGAGAAAGGAGAGCCAAAGAGUUUUUACUCGCUUUAAUUCUCCUCUUAUAUCAUCUAUUAUUAGACUCUUCCCAUCUUCUUCUCCAGGCGGCAAGUUUUGCCGCCGGAUUGGAAAAAAAUAAAAUCAUAAUAUCAUUCUUCAUAGAUUAACCAAAUCAUCACCCUUUCAAUUCCUUUUUUUUUCUUUUCUCCUCUCUUCCUUUCCUGCAUUAUCUUUGAUUUGGUAAUACUACUAUUCUUCAACAUUAAUCAUUUUUUGUAUUGUAUUGUAUUGUGUUGGGUGUGAUCUAUACAUGCGAUUUCGUGUUUUUUAUUAAGUGGGUAUCGCCAAAUUUCUCUUCCACUUUGUGGGUAUUUCGCCGUUUUGUGAAUAACUAAAGAAAAGGGGGGAAUGUGCUUGGGUAAUUGUGUGUUUUUUUCAUUAAAAAAUUUAAAAUGAGGAACACAAUAUAUGAUUUGUUCUGGAUGCGUGCGAAUUUUGCAUAUGUUGUUCUUUAGGUAUUUUGUUAUUUUUAUGCAAGUUGGCAUUGCAUGAUUUGUAGGAAAGUUUAUUUUAAUAGACAUUCUUCUGAUGGAGAAUGAAAGGAGCUAGUAAUAGUUUUCAUGGUUAUAAUUUGUAGUAGUAUACUAUUUGUUAUGUGUUUAACCAGUUAAAUUUAUUACAUUUGCAGUUUCACCUAUGGAGAAACCAAAAACUCCCUUCAAGGGAGUCAUUGAUGAUGUUAAAGGAAGGAUGGCAUGCUAUAAACGCGAUUGGCUCGACUCAUGUGGUACAGGCGUGAGGUAUUUUAUGUUAUGUUUGAGCUGAAUAUGAACUGGGACAUUAAUCUAUUAUUACUACAUAUUGAUGAAAAUGUUGGGUUUAUUGUGUAAAUGAAUUUUAGGAUAUUGGCUCCAACAGCAUACAUUUUCUUUGCUUCAGCUCUUCCUGUUAUUGCUUUCGGGGAGCAAUUGAGUAGAGAAACAGGUCCGCGCUAAAUUUUUUUCUUCCAUAUAUGCGAUAAUCAUGUAAUGUAAGUUGGAUUAAUUUGUUGAUAUAUUGAAUUGACAGACGGAGCUAUGAGCACAGUUGAAACUCUUGCUUCUACUGCUAUCUGUGGAAUCAUCCAUUCAAUUUUUGGUGGACAACCUCUCUUGAUCUUAGGAGUUGCAGAGCCAACCAUCAUCAUGUACACCUACUUGUACAAUUUUGUGAAGGAUAGACCAGAAAUGGGGCCAAAGCUGUUUGUCGCCUGGGCAGGAUGGUGUGGAAUCUACUUUUUCCUUUGUUUUCUCCAAAAUGGUGUAGCAAGAGCUUCCUGGGGUUACCAAAUGCAUAAAUGUUACUAACCAUAUGUUUGACAGGGUUUGUGUGUGGACCGCGUUGAUGUUGUUUCUUCUUGCUAUAUUCAACGCUUGCAAUAUCAUCCCUAGGUUUACGAGGCUUGCAGGGGAACUCUUUGGCAUGUUAAUCACAGUUCUUUUCCUCCAAGAGGCUAUAAAGGUACUUGUUGUUGUCCCUCCUUUUGAGAAUGUACUCUUAAAGAGUCUAUAAAACAAAAAGGACUAGAAAGAAUUUUCAUUUAAAACUAGAAGAAAUAUCAUGCUCCUCAUAACUUUUUGUUCUUUGAGUCACAGGGAGUAGUGAGUGAAUUUUCAAUUCCAAAAGGUGAAAAUCCGGAACGAGAGGAGUUCCACUUUGAAUGGCUCUACACAAAUGGGUUACUGGCAGUUAUUUUCUCGUUUGGUGUUCUUUUAGCUUCUCUUAAAAGUAGAGGAGCUAGAUCAUGGCGUUAUGGUACAGGUAUGUGACAAUAUCUGCUUUAUUGAAGGGUGAAUUUGAAUUUUGGAUAUAUUAUUGUCUGUUAAAAGUCAUAAUCUCUCAUACAUCAACUAUUAUGAACAGGUUGGAUGCGAAGUUUUAUAGCCGAUUAUGGGGUUCCCCUUAUGGUUGUGUUGUGGACAGCAAUGUCUUUCGGUGUGCCUGGAAAAAUUCCUUCUGAAGUUCCUCGAAGGCUCUUUUGUCCUCUCCCUUGGGAGGCUAAAUCAUUAUACCACUGGACUGUGAUGAAGGUGCUCUAAACUUCACGAUGACACACUUAUUCACCUAGGCUUCUUGAGUUCUCCAGCUGGAGUGGCCAAUAAGAUCUGGACUGCUUCUAUAUUCUGUUCAGAGCAUAUCUUGCUCCUUCAGUUAGGUUUCAUAAAAGGGGAUGUCGUAAAACAAACAGAGACAUUAGAAUUCAUCAUCAACAUCCUUUGUUUUUAUAUAUGUUCUUAUAUACAAAAAGCUUUUGAAAGUGGGCCAUACAAAUGGCUUGUGGCACAUGAACUUUCUCCUAUAGGCUAUAGUAAUUCGGAAGUCAGUAUAAGACAUGUCAAGAUGUUGUUAGCUCCCUCUUUGGGUAUUUUCUGAAAAAAGAAUUUUGAACCAAAUUUAUGGAUUAACUCUAUGUACGUCAGUUAUGUCGGAAACAUUCCUAUCCUGUAUAAUUUAGUUUAUGCACUUCAUUGCAGGAUAUGGUAAGGGUCCCGGUGUUGUAUAUCUUUGCUGCCUUCAUUCCAGCUCUGAUGAUAGCUGGUCUAUACUUUUUCGAUCAUAGUGUUGCUGCACAGAUGGCACAACAGAACGAGUUCAAUCUUAAAAACCCAUCUGCUUACCAUUAUGAUUUGUUUUUGCUUGGAGUCAUGGUAUAGAUUUUCAGAACUUUUUCUAUGUAGAGAGAUAAGCUUUAGUUCACUUCAGGUCUUCCACUCUGGCUCAUUCUUCAUCCUGAAUUUAUGGUUGCAGACUUUGAUAUGCGGAUUACUUGGGAUUCCCCCUUCAAAUGGGGUACUUCCGCAAUCACCAAUGCAUACAAGGAGCCUUGCUGUACUCAAGAGACAGGUAGAUAAUGCAAUAAUAUGUUCUCUAUUUAUUCCCAUCUGCGUGAUUAAUUGUCCUACUAACACUACUUGGUCCCUCAUGAGCAGUUAAUUCGGAAGAAAAUGGUGAAGAGUGCGAAGGAAGGUAUUAAGCAGAAUGCAACAAAAUCAGAGAUAUAUGGAAAGAUGCAUGCCGUCUUCGUUGAGAUGGAUGCUACAUCAAAGGUAAGUGCUGGAACCAAGUAUAACUGUUGCCAAUCAGGGAUGCAUAGGUCAAUGUCCAUAUGGCCUAUUCAGUUGCAAAAUAAAAAUGUGUUUAUUUAUUUUCAAUACCUCUAACUAGUUUGGGUUGAGGCAUAGUUGUUGGAUUAUAAGAAAUUUCUUUAUAUUAUGCAGCGCACAGCAGAUAAGGAUUUGGAGAACUUGAAGGCAGCUGUAAUGAAACAUGACGAUGGAGAAAAUGGAACAGACGGAAAAUUUGACCCUGAGAAGCACAUUGAUGCACACUUGCCUGUCCGAGUAAAUGAGCAAAGAGUUAGCAACUUUUUGCAAUCUCUACUUGUGGGAUGUAGUGUGUUUGCUAUACCUGUGAUCCGGAGGAUACCCACCUCAGUUCUUUGGGGAUAUUUUGCCUACAUGGCCAUUGACAGUCUCCCUGGUAAUCAAUUCUGGGAGAGGCUGCUGCUGCUUUUAAUUCCUUCGGGUAGAAGAUUCAAGUAAGUCACAAAAAACUAUUCCUCAUAACUAAGUCUUGAAAAGUCCCUCAAAACUUUUGGUCAUGUUCACAUUAACACCUGGAUAUCUUAAAUUGUAGGAGUUUUGGGUUGUUACGUAAUUAUGCUAGCCUAGUUCUUAUUCGAACUGAGAACUAGAGGAAAACUGACAUGUAUUUUGGCAUUGGAAUCCUUGUUAUUGGUCAUAAACUACUUUUCUAUUUCACUUUUAUGGAUGACCAUGCCAUAGUUAUAUACAUUAGAUUAUUCAAGUGGUAGUAAUUGAUUGGUUAAACAGUAGCAUCUUUUAAGUGCUAUUUUGUGAUGGUUCUUUUGACAGAGUCUUUGAAGGGCUCCAUGCCUCCUAUGUUGCGUCGGUCCCAUUCAAAUACAUUGUCAAGUUUACAAUGCUCCAGUUCGUGUAUUUCUUAAUUUGCUUUGGAGUAACAUGGAUACCUAUCGCUGGAAUACUAUUCCCUGUGCUUUUCUUCCUUCUCAUAGCUAUAAGAGAGCAUGUUCUUCCCAAGUUUUUCCCAUACGAGUAUCUUAAGGAAUUAGAUGCAGCUGAGUACGAAGAAAUUGCUGGUGUUCCUAAGGUAAAUUAUUUUUCCUACCUUUCCUGCAUCCUCCCGUGUAAGUGUAAAUGAUAUAGGUGGGCUUUUGUGGACAUUUUAGUUUAUUAUUUUUGCUCUAAUUGCAUUCUUCUUAAUACUGGAUGCUCCAUCUUUGUUGCAUUCAGCUGCAAUAUUACUUGUUCCCUGGCCAUAUGAUGUAGUUUUGUACCUCACUGAAGUUUUGCUUUGGAGAUAACUGAAAGAAAGGAUCCUUCACAGAUUUUCUAGAGACCACAGAUAGUAGAACUGGAAGGAAUUAGACCAAGCAAAUACAAGCUUGUGUUAAUUAAUAACCAAAAUAUAAGUUGGCAACAUGGAUGUAACUAGACCAGACAAUAAAACUUGUUAAUUACACCCAAGAGAUAAGAUGGCUAAUUAUGUGUCUAGAUAAAAUAAAUAAAAAGACACAAUUUUGACCAUAAUUCAUUGAACCUACUAAGAGAUAGAUAGAACUGAUGAUCUCAAGAUGCACUCUUGCUACCACAUAGGUCAACUACAGAACCAUUAUUGUGCAAGUGUCUAUUAACAUGGAAUUCAGGUCCUGAAAGCAUAUGAUACAAAAGCCCAUAAUUGAUUGAGGAAAUUGGUCUUCAAACUCUAAACACCUUUUCACUUAAAAUCUCCCUCUUCAAUCCAGAUCACUGAAAAUCCUCCUUCUAGAUAGCAUGUCCUUGAUAACCCUCAAAACUCAAAAGCCCAUACAAGAUUUUACAGAAAUAUUCCCUGACUGCUAAAAGUGAACCACCAUUUCCUUUACAGGGUUAAUUUUUCUUGUUUUCGUUUUAGUAAGUUAAAAGCCUUGAAAGAACAGACAAAUAUAUGAAAGAAUAUGUCAAUAAGCUCAUAAAUAAAUUAAUAAAAGAAUACAACAAACACCAAUAUUUCUCAUUUUUUUAGUAUGAGUUUAACUAUAUGUCUCUUUUCCAGUAUGUCGAUUCUGGAAAAUAAUAGCCAAUAUCAGCAACAAGACACCUAACAGUUUCUGUUCUUUUUUCAUUAUUCCAGCUCUAUUUAUUUUGUUCUACGCAUCCGGCAUUCAAAACCCACUAACCCGAGUAAUCUGGAUUCAUGCGGGGUAGGUAAAGGACUUCCUACCAAGAAGUUAUCCAUUACAGUUAUAAACCCAAGGAUGUCUGGUUGGCAAAAGGUGAAGAGAGAUCCGAACCAUCUCCAACUACUAUUAUCUUCCUUCCAUCUCUACUCAUACUUGACAGUCAAUUCUACUUACUAUCCUAUCAUGCCCCUAAACAAGAUUAGAACAAACUUCUCCACCACCCUCACAAUUUCAAUUUCCAACAAGCCCAAGCUUAAUCAUCUUACAUAAAUGUGACCGUCUAAUUAGAAUUAGAUCAGCCUUUUAUGAAAAACUUGAUAACCCCCUGGAUCAUUCAACUGCUACAUUUUUCUGUUGCAUUCAAUUUUCUUAUCACUUCUUCUAUGUAAUACAAACAACUGGAGUGUCUUCUUGAUGAGAACUUUGAGGAUCUCUUAGGUUCUUACAAUGGUUUAUGUAUCUUUCUGCAGGAGAGAGAGAUAUCUGAUGAAGAAAAUGAUGAUGAUUUCUCUGAUUCUGAGAUAUUGGAUGAGAUGACAACACACAGAGGUGAACUAAAACAUAGAUCUGUCAGCCUAACCGAAAGGCAACAUCAGGUAAAUUGGCUUUGUCAAAUCGUCCAACAUUAGCAGCUUCCAUUUUAUUACGUUGGAAGAAACUGAUAAUGACCCCAUUUAAUUUAAUUUAUGUCAGGUUUAUCCACACGACGCUUCUGAAAUGUAAUGGCACCUGAUGCAUCAAUGUAAAUGAUAUAACUCAUUGUGACUCUCAAUCAAAGUACUUCCAGGGAGGUCAUUAUAAUUUUGACAAAUCCUCUCAGUUGUGGAAAAUGUGCAAUAGAAACAAUACAUGAAAAGAAAGAUGAGAGUAGAAAAGAGCGGGAGAUGGAGAUAUAACAAAAGAAAAAAAGAAGGGAAAAAAAGCACGAGAUAUUCUGUACAAACUUUUAAUUUCCUUUCAUAGUACCGAAGCUAAGUAAUAUAGAAGUUUGAUGCUGAUUGAAAAAUUUGUAUAAUUCUGGAUGCUUUUUUUGUGUGUGUUAUUAUUUCAUUUUUGGCAAAGGUUGAUGAUGUAUGUGUUAUACAAAUGAGUCAUUGUGGAAUCUGGUAACUUUGCUUGUAAAACUACUUUCGAUAGUAAAACAUUUGAAAAUACAUUGAACAAUUAGGACUCGUUUGAUAGGAGGUAUAAUCAAAAUAGUCCAUGGAUUAAAAUUUAGUCCAACAAAAAUAUUGUUUGGUUACUUUAUUUAACCUAAACCAUGGAUUAGUUAUACCUCAUACAAAGUCUUAUCUAAUUCCUAGAAAAGGGAGGGAUAACUAAUCCAAGGUUUAACAAUCCUUGGAUAAGACCCCUAAAUGACUAAACUAUCCCCAAAUCUUUUUUCCUAUUUUUUUUUUUUGUAAUUUAAUGCUUUUUUAUUUAUUUAUAUGAGAAUAUUUAUAAAUAUUCUUUUAAAUUUCCAAAUUCAUUCUAUGUGAUUUGAUGAUUUCACAAAUUAAUAUUUUUUCUCCAUGUUUGAUUUGUUAUAUUGGGUUGAUUUUUUCGUUUUUUUUUAAAAUGUAGUUCGUCGAUAUACCACUUGAACUUUUUUAAAAAAAAAUAAGCUUUGUGUAUUUGAACAAUUUAAGUAGCCUUAAAUUUAUGUUAAGUUCAAGGUAUAUUUGACCAACAAAAAAAUUAGAAAUAUAUCGUGCUAUCAAGGAUCUCUAUGGUGGCAUAUCACACCUCAAAAUUAAUAAUAAUUUUUUAAUAUAUUUUAGUAUUUAACUUGACAAAUUAAAUAAAAUAUAAAAUCUCAUAAGAACUCAAGGGUAUAAUAGGAAAGAAACUUUUUCUAGAAUUUUAAAUCAAACAUAAGAUUAAAUGGGAAACAAUGAACCAAACACUUGAUAAAAAUUAAUAUCUGCAUUAUUAAACCCUGCAUUACUAAUCCCUGCAUUAUGCAUCUUCGUACCAAACAACCCCAAAGGCUAAUGAACAAUAUAUAUAUAUAUAUGGGAAAAACUUAGGCAAAUAUAUUUGCCAAGUAUCCCAAGUUCUCAAAUACUAGAAAAAUUAGUAUUUGGGCCAAGUUCUAAUAUUUGAGAAUUUUGAAAAAUUUAAAAAUUAUCCCAAACUUUUAUAUUUUAUAAAAAAUAUCCAUUAUUUAUUAAUUUCAACUAAUAUUUGUUGUUACCGACUCCGAAAAAAUUUGAGUGAUAAAAAUGAGAAAAAAGAAUAAUGUGUGUUUAAUAAGUUAUAAUUAUAUUUUUAGAACUUAUGGGUAUAAAUCAUAUUUUUUGAAAUAGUUAAAUAUUUUUGAAAAUUUUUGGGGCCAAACACAUGAUGAAACUUUACCCAAAUAUAAUUUGCCAAGAAUAUUUGAGAACUUAGGAUCAAACGCGGGCUUAAUGUGGACUUACUAAUUUGCAUUGCUCAACUUUUUCAACUUAUACAAUUGAGCUGUCUGUCCAAUUGAGUUAAUGAAUGAUGAGUCAAUAACCAACUCAAAUUUGAGUGGGUUAUAUUUCUGUGAGCUAGUUUUAUCACAUCUACAAAAGUCAUUCGUACAAAUGUCCUAUUUUGGGUGAUGUUUAAUUAUUGUCCCUCAAAUAUGUGUUUUUAAUUUUUAUCCUUCAACACAGUAAUAAAUAAGUGACUUAGCCUUAUUUGUUUAUACUUGUGAAAGUCUGAUUUUGAAUGAUUCAUACAUUAGGCCAUUAAGUGUAUUUGAUUUUUUUACUUAAAAAUCUUUUAAUGGGUUUGAAUCAGUGACGAAUUUAGAGGUAAAAAAUAGGGCAUUGGAACUCGUGGUCUCUCUGUAAAACUAGAUAUUUUGUGUAUAUAUUUUCUAAAAUUUGCAUAAUAGUGUAUUUUGGCAAACAUGCUAUAAGAAGUCUAAAUGGUUCACAUGAUUAAAUGUUGAGCUUUUGAUCUUGAGGACUAAGACCCUUUUAAAGACACUUUUUUUUUUUUUAAAAUUCUCGCCUCUCUCAUUCUCCAACUUUGUUAGUUAUCCAAAUUAUUUUCCUUAAACUUUUACUUUUUAAUCUUGCUGCUUGUUCAUAAAGAAUUGUCAAAAUUUAUUAGAAAAAAAUUAUUUCAUUAAAGUGCAAAGUAACUUCAUAACAUCAUAUGUGACGAUGAUGCCUUUAUAAAUUUGUUUAAAAUCAUUUGAAUGUAUCAUAUUCAUUAAUUAAUUUAGAGAAAAGUACAUGUGCAAACAUAUUAUAGAACAUAGAGAUGUUUCACUUAUUUAUUUAAGAUUAAUUUGUAUUGAUUUAUUUUUUAAAAAAAAAGGAUGACUACACUUUUUUCUAACAAUUAUUUUUAUUAUCAUAAUUUAUAUAUGUAAUGUUCCAUUUUAUUUUCAUCAAACUUAAAAUAUUUAUUUAUAAUUUAAAUAUCUUAACGUUUAUCUAAGAAUAAUAGUUUUUCUCAUAUUUUGUUAAUGUAAUAUUUAACUACUAUUUUAUUUGAAUUAUAAUGUUUAUUGUGUUUUCAUAUUUCAGUAUUCAGAUCUACCAACAAGAGCUUAAUUAUCUAGAUGUGCAUUCAGAUUUAGACGUUUUAAUCUUAAUGAAAACAAAUGAAACCUAAAAAUACGCUCGACACCGAAAUAACAAACAAGUCUAUAAAUUUAUAUUUUCGUAUUAUAAUAUUACACAACUUAUGUCGUAAAAGCCAUAACACGUAAUAUCCCACACAAAUUAUGUUGCAAGACAUAACAAGUUAUGUUUGUAUUCUGAGAUGACAUAAUGUAGUAUAAAAUAAAAAUCACAUAGACAUACACACCAGACAGCUUGUUUAUGAAUGGUUUCAAUCAAAAUCCUAUCGAUUGUAGCAUAAGUUUUACCAUUCCAUGUUAGCUAUUAAUUUUUUUAUUCUCUAACAAGGAUAAGAACAUAUGCUCCAAAAGGUAUAACUUUAAUGUCUGAACAUUACGAUAAAUUAUGAAAAAUACUUAACAAAGUUCAUGUAGUUCAAAUCCUAGCAUAGAAAAAUACUAUUUGACUCAAAUGAUCGAAUUUUUCGUUUUGUGAAAGAAAUUUUGGUCAAUUAUGUUGCAUAACUUAAUUUUUGUAAAAUGUAUGCCGAUCAAAUUAGUUCUGAAUAGAUGAAUACUUCGAUCAAUAAAUUUUCAUUAAUAAACAACUAUUUUAAAAAAAAUAAAGAACCCAUCAUAUUCAAAGAUAAAAUGGUCUGAAAAAUACUUCAACUUUGGUCGAAAUUGCUGUUACGAUACCAAAUUUUAUGGAGGACCUUUUUACCCCCUGCACUAUUUAAUAGUGUAUUUUUAAAAGGUAUAUAUGUGCCCACGUGGACACGUUACUAAUUAUAAUGAUGCAAUAUUUAUGAUGUCUACGUGGACACAUAUAUACCUUUAAAAUACACUAUCAAAUAGUAUGGGGGGGGGGGUAAAAGGUCCUUUCCAAAGUUGGGUAUUAUUACAACAAUUUCGAUCAAAGUUCGAAUAUAUUUCAGACUUUUUUCCCAAAAAUAAAAAACACCACAAAAUAUGGUCAAUCUGUGAAAAAACAUCCUCUACAAAUAAUAUAUUAUUUCCUCCAUUCACUUUUACUUAUUAUAUUUGAAUUUAACAUAUUUAUUAAGAAAAUUAUAAUUGACAUGACAAUUUUACGGCACUAUCUCUAUUAAUUUAUGUUUAAUAUAAAGUUUUGAAAAAUAAUUUGUGAAAUAAUCAUACAUAUACUCCCUCCGUUUCAAAAAGAAUGACCUCCUUUCCUUUUUAGUUUGUUUAAAAAAGAAUGACCUCUUCCUUUUUUUAUAACAUUUUAAUUUCAGCUUUCCACGUAGCAUGUUUAAAGCCACAAGAUUGAAGGGCAAUUUAGUACAUUUGACAUAACUUUAAUUUAGGAUCACAAGAUUCAAAAGUCUUCUUUAUUUUCUAAAUUUUUGUGUCAAGUCAAACCAUGUCACUUUUUGUGAAACGGAGGGAGUAUAUAUAUAUAUAUAUAAAAGAGAACCUUAGGCCCGCCUACGUGGCGCCUCCAAAUACAAGGAUUCUCUUUUAAUUUAUUUAUUUCCAAAAUUAGCCUUCCCCUUUCAUGCAAAGUUGUGACUUUUAUUGAAAAGUUGUGACUUUUAUGAAGAGUUGCUACUUUUAUGAAAGGUUGUAACAUUUAUGAAAGGUUGUGACCUUUUCGAAGAGUUGUGACUUUUUCAAAGAGUUGUGACCUUUCAGGUAAGGCACAAUAAACAUUUAUUCACACCACCUUUUUUUGUCUAUAAAUAGAGGGGCUUCCUCUAAUUUUAAAACAACGAAAUUCCUGAACUUCUGCUUCAUCGUCUGCACAAUUAAAUUUGGUUUUGAACUUCUUCUUAUUCUGCACAAUUAAAUAUUUGUAUACUUUGCUCAUGUUAAGUGGCUCAGUGACACUAUUGUUUUUGUAUCAUUACACUGGUGAAUAAAAUUGUUUCAUCGUGAGAGUAUCUAUUUCUUUAAAUCUCGGGUACUAGAGGGGAAUGAUUUUCUUAAGGAGACACUGUGCAUUCAGUUAGCUCGAUUUUUCCUUUCUGUUUCAUUCUAUUGUUACUGAUCCUGGUAUGUUUUUUACAGUCAUUAAUUUAUGCUUAUGAUAUUAAUUAUUGUUUUUAGUACAUGUUUUAAACUUUGUUGUUUAUGUUUCUGUAAAGUUAUUAUUAUAAGUAUUUGUUAGUACAUACUCUAUGUAAAUCCAACUAAUGCAUAUUCACAAUUGACUUUUUACAGAAUACAUUUAUUUAGAACAUUCUCCAAAGAAAUCUUUUCUUCUCCAAGAGAUCAAGCCUAAAAAUUUAUAUGAUUUUUUGUUGUUGUCAUAGUAUUGUUAAUAUUAACGGGAGUAAAAAGAAAAAGAAAGUCAAAUAAUAGAAUUAAAACUAGCAAUUAAUUACAAUUACAUGAUACACAAUGAUGAUUAUUCUCUUACACCAAAGUACUUUUUUGAACUUUUUUCCCAUUAUCCCUUACUUCUCUUUCAUCCUUUCCAAGGAUCCUUAAUGAUUUGUUUGUGCACAACUUCAAUUCCAAAACACUUUCAUAACUAUAUUACAUAUGAAAUUUGGAUUUUGGAAGAUUGCAUUUUAAUUUUAAAACACAUAAUGACUACAUAGUACUUAUUGGUAUAUCAUAUGAUUAUGGAACCUUUGCUCUUGAUAAACGCAUUAGUUAUAUAUAUAUAUAUAUAUAUAUUUAAAAUAUUUAAUAUUUUGGAAGUAAUUGAUAGUGUUAUACUAACGAAAUUUGCAAAGAAGAAAAUUGUGAAAAAUAUUUAUUUUACUCUCUUAUUAAAGACACUAUGUAACCAUGCAUAUAGAUGAUAAAAAUAAACUAACCAUUGUAAAAUUUCAAGAGCAAAUUAAUGAAUCUGUAAAAUGCAAUUAUGUAAGCUAGGAGAAAGUAGUGUUAUGAUUUGUAAUUUUGUCAUUUCUUUUAAUAAAACAAAUGAUAAACUACAAUUGAAUAACCUCUAUACUCCUAAAAAAAAAUACUAAGAAAAGUUCUAUUUUAAUAAAUUUUAAAAAAGAAUGUUUUAAUUCGCGCGGUCCAUUUACUAGUCAAGUAUAUAAGCAACAAGCCAUUUGCUUCUUUUUCUAGAAAAGAAAUUUUAUUUUUCUCAAAAAUUAAAAAAUUCCCAUAAUUAGGAAAAAGGAAGCUUCUUAGGAUAAAAGGCCAUUUAUGAAUCUGUGGAAAAUUCAAAAAGAAAUUUAUUGGACAAUAUAUUCUUAGGAUAAAACACUUUAAAAGACUUUGUUUAAAAUCAAUAAGCUUUUCAACUUGCAGUUUGAGAAGUUGUUGAAAAGAUAGUGAUUCACAAAGAAGAAGAAGAAGAAGAAGAAGAAGAAGAAGAAGAGAGAUCUGAAUUUUGUGAUACUGUAAAUCAUGGCUUCAAGUUCAACGAAGAACAAUCCGUUACUGCCGACGACGACGGCGAUCGAUCCAUCACCGUCGCGGAUGGAGGAGAAGCUCUUCAAAGGAUCGGCCAUGACCAAGCGCGGUGCUUAUGCUGCUAUCUCUUACAUGUCAUGUGCUGGUAUAGAUGCUUCCUCUUUCUUCCUUCCUAUUGUUUCUCCUGAUUUGUGUAGCUGUUCUCUGUUGAAUUGCCAAUUCGCGUUUUCCAUUUUUGAGGAAUAGGGUUUGCAUUUUGUUGAAAUUGCAAAUUUUAGAGCUAGAAAUUUGUAUCUGUUCAUUACGUUUGAUUCAAAUUGAGAGGUUAUUUGUUGAUCGUGAGUUGAGUGAUUCAUCAUGGAAUGAAAUGUUUUACUGUGUAACGGUUGAAUUUUGACCUUCUCCAUCACUUCGAAAUAAACUAGUAUUGCAAUCAUUAGAGCUAGCAUGGGAGUUGCUUUGAUCUGUACGAUUCAAAUAAAAGUUUAUUUUUGUUGAUGGAAAGUUGACUAAUUCGUCAUGGAUGUAUUAUAAGAUGUUGUAGCCUUUCCCAACUGUCUUAAAAGUUGUGCUCUUGAUUUAUGCUUGGUGUUAUUGAUAGGAAGUUCUCUUCCAUAUUUGGUGAUUAUUGCUCAGUCGUGUUUCACCAUCUGUGGAGUGCCAGCUGAAUGAUAUUAAAGUUUGUUGAAUUAACUACUAUUGGUGGCACUUAGAUUUAGUUAGAUUGAAUCUGAUAAUUGUUGACUCAUGUAGAAGCUAAUCAUGGCAACUUUGCUAGUUGGUUGUGGCCCCAUAAAUCAUACUCUCUGCUCCUUAAUAUGCAGAUCUGUGGUCAAUUAAAUAAAGGACAUGCAAUGUAAUUUUUUUUAAAAAAAAGGAAUGUUCACCUAUUCUGCUGUCUCUUUAACAAAAACUUCUUCUUUUUUUGUCUCUUCUUUCAAGUUUUAAAGAAGACAAAAAACAAUAAAUUAAUCAUAGGCAAAUGGAGUGUCAUGCACAUAAAAAGUUUAUUGUAGAAUGAUCAUUUCAUGCCUUAUCAGUCUAUGAAUAUUCUUAUGGUGUGCAAUCCAUUUUCACAUCUGAAGGCUUGAGUGCCAUGCUUCAAUCUUCAAGAGAAAACUAUUCAUCCAUGUACUCAAUGUUUAUAUAUUUUUCUGUUAUUAAAUAGGAUUAGUAGCGCAAAGAUCUUUGAAAUAUCAAGCUUUAUGUGCCUUACACAUCAAAUGCCUUGGGUACUGGCUAACUCAAUAAUAAAGUACUGCCAUUCAUUUAGAUUCUUUUCAAGUACUUCCUCCGUUUAAUUAUGCGUCUUAGUUUUAACUGGACACAGAGUUUAAGAAAGUAACAAGAUUUUUGGAUCUUGUCAUCUUGAACUAAAGAUGUGUACCAAAAUGUCCUUUGAAUCUUGUGCUCUUAAAUAUGCCAUGUGAGAUGUUGGAAUUAAAGAGUUACUAAAAGCGACAUUCUUCUUAGACAUACUAAAAGGAAAGUACGACACCUCUAAAAUAAAGGGAGUAUUUUUCCUUUCCCCAUAUGUAUGUAAAUUCAUCAUGCUUGAAUUGCUCAGCUUUUAAUGACAUGAUUAAAUGUUCUUUUGGAUGAAUUUACCCUACAUUACGUAGUGGGGAAUGUUUGGGAAUUGGAUACAAAAAAGAUUUUUACACAAUUUGUUUAUACCAUCUAAGUUCAUUAACAUGUUAACUUAAUCUUGGCACUGUUAGUUUUAAACUCUUUGCUAUUUCUCUUUGGUUAUUUAGCAUUUUUGCGCACAAAGAUUGUUGUAUGUUGGAUACUCUAACUUUAUACAUGUUGAUUAAAUCGUGUCUACUUAUGCAUCCUUAAAAUGUCUUGUCAGAUGAUAGAUAGGGAUGGCAAUGGGGGGUGUGGGGCAAAUCCUCAUAAACCGGCAAAGACUUUGGCACUUUGCCCUGCCCCGCUCAGCCCCGCAUAGCAAUUUUUUUUGUUUUUGUUCCGCCCCGCCCCACCCCACCCCGCCCCGCAUAAAUUCAUUAAAGCACCGCAUAUAUCCCUGCACUUUGAGGACACAGUGGCUGCAUUUUACUUUCUUCGUAUAUAAAAUAAUUGUUUGUUAGUUUAUGUACUGCACAACACAAUCAAUUCAUUCUAAACAGAUAAAAGACUUUUUAAAAAACUUUUAGUGAUAUUAAAUAGUAUUUUGUUGAUGUUUCAUCCUUCUUCAUAAUUACUUGGGAUAAGAUUGAAUCAUGCAAGAAUGUAUAGGGUACUGCCUUAUUUUUUGACUAGUGUGUUUAUUACCCAAAAGGAACGUGGAAGUAGUCGAGUAUUGCGAAAGUCUUGGCUACCCGCAUAUCCGCCCCGCCCCGCCCCGCCCAACAACUAUUUUUUUUCAAAAAUAUUUUGUACCCGCCCCGCUCCGCAAAAGCUCUAACCAGCACUGCCCCGCAAACACUUUAAGCCACUCCGCCCUGCAACCGCUCUGCCCCCUUGCCAUCCCUAAUGAUAGACAUGUUUGAAGACUCCACUUUUCUUUUGCUUUGCUUUUAGCCAAGUCCAAGGUCGUCCGUGUUAUAAAUGGAUGAAUUCAAUGGGAUUAAAGUAAGUGGAUAAGGAAGGUCAAACUUACUCUUAUAUUAUUAGCUUAAGAUGGACAUUUGUAUUAUUUGGAAUCAUUGCAUUUAUGUCCAUUGGAGUUGUCUUUGUUGACACUAUAAGCAAUUAAUCAGUAGUAAAUGUAUAAAAGUACUGUGUUGUAUUUUUGCCGCAUCUUAUGCUACCUGAUUCAGACGAAUAGACUGCAUUUGUGUCUUUGUGGAUAUGACUAUUGUCCAUAUAUGCUACUCUAACGAAGUGGGAAAUUAACAUGUUUUUCUUUUUCUUUUCUUUGUUGGUAAAUCCAUGUGUAAAUGCCAUUAUAUUAAUGAUAUUCUAGAACUUACUGCAAACAAACUAAUAUUCUCUGUUCUUUAUCAUGCACUUAAAAAAGAAAAACCAAAUAGUUUCAGUUUGGGCUAGUCGCUCCAUUGUCCAACAUCCAGAAAUUAGGGGAUACGUUUGACUUUGAUUUUUGAAUGAAAACAUUAGAAUGCAGAUAAAGACUCAAUGAGACCCCAAUGCACAUUGUUGCUUUGUGCUUAAUGUCCAUUUCUAGAUGGUAUUCUUUGUCCAUAUCAUGCACUCUCAAUGUUUAUUCAUGUUCAUUGGGGUCUGCGGACUCCACUCAAUUCUAAAAAAACCCGUAAAUUAGUCUAUUUUUAAGGACAUCUAGUUGAGAAUCAACACUUAAUAAUGUGACCCCAAUGACAAGAACUUAAGGCAUAGCCAUUGAUGACUAGGAAUGAUGCAUGGUUCCAUUAAGCAUCAGCGAACAUAGAAGAACCUCAAAUUUAAAGUCAAGCACCGAAGUAUAGUUGCCCAUCUUCAAUUUUGAUUCUGUCAGGUCAUUUGGGAGGAAUAUAGGAACUUCCUUUUCUUUGCUCUAACCCUUUGCUUCACCUUUCUAAGAAUCAGAGUCCUUAAGUUGAUCUUUUCCUACUGUUUAUAAAAGACCUUUGGUUCUCCAUAA
This 63459-nucleotide long non-coding RNA is filed under the name Solanum tuberosum (potato). RNAcentral describes it as "long non-coding RNA (STUB_LNC008303)". The stretch from base 45825 to 45897 matches the Rfam family "tRNA". Lineage: Eukaryota; Viridiplantae; Streptophyta; Magnoliopsida; Solanales; Solanaceae. The record is from RNAcentral.